Molecule: long non-coding RNA, 68787 nt
Filed under: Hordeum vulgare
Lineage: Eukaryota; Viridiplantae; Streptophyta; Magnoliopsida; Poales; Poaceae
Description: long non-coding RNA (HVUL_LNC018404)
Source: RNAcentral
GGGGCUCAAGAACUGCACCGAGAAGGAGGAGAACUUCAGCGACACGGUCACCGCCGUCGUCGUGCCGCCAUACAUCGACAGCAGCGAGAUCGUCAAGCACGCAUGGAAGCGGUACAACCUCAGCCUCGGGCUCGGGCUCAACAAGGUCGCCGGCAAGGUCUUCAGGAUCGGCCACCUCGGCCACCUCAACGAGGUACGCACGCACGUCGCCCUAGAGAAACUGUUUGCAAUUUGCAUCGCCAAUGACCAAUGCGUGCUUGCCUGUCUUUGCUGCAGCUGCAACUUCUGGGUUGCCUCGGCGGGGUGGAGAUGGUGCUCAAGGACAUCGGGUACCCGGUGAAGCUUGGCAGCGGCGUGGCGGCCGCGGCGGCGUACCUCUCGAAUUCCACGCCCCUCAUCCCCUCCAGAAUCUGAGCAAAUUCCACGCACAAAAGCAAGGGGGUCGCGAGGAGAAGAACAAACACGUACAGUGUGCCCUGCUUGGGUCUGCUGCUGGGCACACGGCAGAGCACAGCAGAGCAGGCGUAGUAUUAUACUCUCUCUGUAUGUAAAGUUAAUUUUCACACACCCAUCUAUGCUAAAGGAGUAUAAUUUCGUCAACUGAAGCUUUAAUUAAAGGAAAUUGAACCCGGAGUAUUAUUACAUCAUGUGCCUCUCCCUCUCUUAGAUGGCUAGGCUUGGUAUUACUGAUUGGUCUACUCUGUUUCCUCCUACUGUGUAUAAGUUGUUUACAGUUUUAUAAGAGUAAAUUGCGCGAUGGUAGAACAUUUUGGACAAUGACGACGGAUUGGUAUCAAGAUUGGUAAUUUUUAUGUGUAAGUAAUAAGGCUCGGGCUAUACACUGCAAAUCGGGCUAAACUAUGUAUUUAGAUGUAUAGACGCCAAAACUGACGACCGGGCCCAGCGCGUCACGCGCCACGCUGGCCAACUGGCACGUGCCCGCGCGCUGACUAGGACCGAUCUGGCUCGAACCGCGUGUGUUUUAAAGCAGGUCCGAUUGGCCUCCUCGCUCAUGCCUCCCUCCCCGUGCGCUGCUCUCUUCCUCCUCGCUCUUGUCUCCCUUCAAGUCGCCCGCCUAGCCGCCUACAACACCGCCACAUUGAACCGCCGCCGUCAUGGUUUUCAAAGUCGAAAGAAGCGACGACACGUCUAGCCUUCCGUACAUGCACUUCACCGGUUCCAGGGACGGGCUUAAGCAGGUCGGUUCACUUGAGCUAGGUUUAGGGUUAGGAUUUCAGAUUUGUUUUUUUAUUUGAGUGAUUUAGCUGGGUUUUUGUUUGGGCAUUGUGUUUGUACGAGCUUGUGCACGCCCCUUUCAUCCUUGAAGAUCCCGAUUACAAGGGGCUUGAGCUCGAUAUGAUUGUCUUCUAUGAGAAGCAGGACAUGGCAUCGGAGAGGCUUAUUGCGUUUGAAGGAAAAGACACAUGGAGAAGGUUCUUAGCAUGUGUAGAGCCACUAUGAUCCAUUCAUGAUUUUGUACCUCUUGUAGUGAUUCACUUUGUGUGAUGCAAAUGCUCUUGUAGUGGUGCAAAAUAUGGUUGUAGUGAUUACACUAUGUAUUGCAUAUGCUCUUGUAGUGAUGCAAACUAUUUAGUUCAAUGGUAGUCAUAUUUUAUAGUGUAUAUGCUCUUGUUCUGGUUACAUUAUAUUCCGUAUGGCAGUUAUGUGUUGGAGCUUGCUCUUGUUUUGUAGUUGAGUGUUGCUGUAAUGUUGAAAUAUUUAGCUGAAUGUUGCUAUAAUUUUGGGAUGCACAUGUGUUAUUUUUGUUGAAAAUAUGUCCUAGGGGCAAUGAUAAAAUAGUUAUUAUUAUAUUUCCUGUUUCAAGAUAAUCGUUUAUUAUCCGUGCUAUAAUUGUAUUGAAUGAAAGCAUAAAUACAUGUGUGGAUAUAUAAACAAAACAAUGUCCCUAGCAAGCCUCUAGUUGGCUACCCAGUUGAUCAAGGAUGGUUAAGGUUUUCUGACCAUAUGCAAGUGUUGUCUCUUGAUAACUAGAUCACAUCAUUAGGAGAAUCAUGUGAUGGACUAGACCCAAACUAUGAACGUAGCAUGUGAUCGUGUCAUUUUGUUGCUAUUGUUUUCUGCGUGUCAAGUAUUCAUUCCUAUGACCAUGAGAUCAUGUAACUCACUGACACUGGAGGAAUACCUUGUGUGUAUUAAACGUCACAACGUUACUGAGUGACUAUAAAGGUACUCUAUAGGUAUCUCCGAAGGUGUCCGUUGAGUUAGCAUGGAUCAAGACUAGGAUUUGUCACUCCNNNNNNNNNNCGGUCCGAUGAGUGUGGAGGCCCACGGUGGAUAUUGUUAUUUUCUCACCUUCACUGACGAUUUGAGUAGGUAUGGAUAUAUCUACUUGAUGAAGCACAAGUCAGAAACGUUUGAGAAGUUCAAGCAAUUUCAGAGUGAAGUUGAAAAUCAUCAUAACAAGAAUAUCUGAGUUUCGAGUUUGGUGCUCACUUCAGACAAUGUGGAAUANNNNNNNNNNGUGCACUCACUUUAAAUAGGGCACCAUCAAAAUCCGUUGAGACGAGACCAUACGAGGUGUGGUAUGGCAAGAGGCCAAAGUUGUCAUUUCUUAAAGUUUGGGGAUGUGAUGCUUAUGUCAAAAAGCUUCAUCCUGAAAAGCUUGAACCCAAAGCGGAAAAGUGCAUCUUAAUAGGUUGCCCAAAGGAGACAAUUGGGUACACCUUCUAUCCCAGAUCCGAGGGCAAAGUGUUUGUUGCUAAGAAAGGAGCUUUUCUUGAGAAGGAUUUUCUCUCGAAAGAAUUGAGUGGGAGGAAGAUAGAACUUCAUGAGGUUGCCGAACCUCUAGUCCCUCUAGAUGGUGCUGCAGGGCAAGGGGAAACCUCUGUCGAAGCGACGCCGGUUGAGGAGGAAGCUAAUGAUGAUGAUCAUGAAGCUUCGGAUCAAGUUCCUAUCAUACCUCGCAGGUCGACAAGAUCACGUACUGCUCCUGAGUGGUACGGUAAUCCCGUCUUAUCAAUCAUGUUGUUAGACAACAAUGAACCUGCAAAUUAUGGAGAAGCAAUGGUGGGCCCAGAUUCCAACAAAUGGUGGAGGCCAUGAAGUGCGAGAUAGGAUCUAUGUAUGAAAACAAAGUGUGGACUUUGGAAGUAUUACCUGAAGGUCGCAAGGCUAUUGAGAACAAAUGGAUCUUUAAUAAGAAGACGGACGUAGACGGUAAUGUGACCAUUUAUAAAGCUCGACUUGUGGCAAAGGGUUUUUCACAAGUUCAAGGAGUUGACUACGAUGAGUCAUUCACACCGGUAGCGAUGCUUAAGUCCGUCCAAAUCGUGUUAGCAAUAGCUACAUUUUUUGAUUAUGAAAUCUGGCAGAUGUAUGUCAAAACGGUGUUCCUUAACGAUUUUCUUAAGGAAGAGUUGUAUAUGAUGCAACCCGAAGAUUUUGUCGAUCCAAAGAAUGCUAACAAAGUGUGCAAGCUCUAGCGAUCCAUUUAUGGACUGGUGCAAGCAUCUCAGAGUUGGAAUAAGCGCUUUGAUGAAGUGAUCAAAGCAUUUGGGUUUAUACAACUUGUUGGAGAAUCUUGUAUUUACAAGAAAGUGAGUGGGAGCUCUGCGGCGUUUCUAAUAUUAUAUGUGGAUGACAUAUUGCUGAUUGGAAACAAUGUGGAGUUUUUAGAGAGCGUAAAAGAUUACUUGAACAAAUGUUUUUCUAUGAAGGACCUAGGAGAAGCUGCUUACAUAUUAGGUAUUAAGAUCUAUAGCGAUAGAUCGAGACGCCUAAUAGGACUUUCACAAAGCACAUACCUUGAUAAAGUUUGAAGAAGUUCAAAAUGGAGCAGUCCAAGAAGGGGUUUGCUACCUCUUGAGCUUGCGUUGGUUUUCCCUUGAAGAGGAAAGGGUGAUGCAGCAAAGUAGCAGUAAGUAUUUCCCUCAGUUUUGAGAACCAAGGUGUCAAUCUAGUAGGAGAAUCAAGCCAAGUGUCUAGAGUACCUGCGCAAACACAAACGAGCUUGCACCCAACGCUAUAAAGGGGUUGUCAAUCCCUUCAAGAUUGAUUGCAAAGUGAGAUCUGAAGGCGGAAAGUGCAACGAAGUAAAAGUGUAAGGCUGAAAAUAUGAUGUGAAGUAGACCCGGGGGCCAUAGUGUUCAAUCGAGGCUUCUCUCAAAAUAGCAAAUAUUACGGUGGGUGAACAAAUUACUGUCGAGCAAUUGAUAGAACCGCGCAAAGUCAUGACGAUAUCUAAGGCAAUGAUCAUACAUAUAGGCAUCACGUACGGGACAAGUAGACUGAUACUUUCUGCAUCUACUACUAUUACUCCACGCAUCGACCGCUAUCUAGCAUGCAUCUAGUGUAUUGAGUUCAUGACGAACAGAGUAACGCCUUAAGCAAGAUGACAUGAUGUAGAGGGAUAAACUCAAACCAAUGAUUUAAACCCCAUCUUUUUACCCUUGAUGGCAACAACAUGAUGCGUGCCUCGCUGCCCCUUCUGUCACUGGUGAGGUCACCGCACGGUAUGAACCCAAAACCAAGCACUUCUCCCAUUGCAAGAAUCAUAGAUCAAGUUGGCCAAACAAAAACCACAACUCAAAGAGAAUUUCAAGGAUAUGAAAUCAUGCAUAUAAGAGAUCAGAAGAAACUCAAAUACGAUUCAUAGAUAAUCUGAUCAUAAAUCCACAAUUCAUUGGAUCUCGACAAACACACUGCAAAGAAGAUUACAUCGGAUAGAUCUCCAUGAAGAUCAUGGAGAACUUUNNNNNNNNNNGGAGAGAGAAUAAGCCAUCUAUCUACUAGCUAUGGACUCGAAGGUCUAUGGUGAACUACUCACGCAUCAUCGAAGAGGCAAUGGUGUUGAUGAAGAAGCCCUUUGUAUCCGAAUCCCCCUCUGACACGGCACCAGAACGUGCCCCAGAUGGGAUCUUGCAGAGACAGAAGCUUGCGGCGGCGGAAAAGUAUUUUUGUGGAUCUCUCCCGUAGUUUUGGAUUUUUCGGGAAUUUAUAGGCGGAAGAGGUAGGGAAGACGAGUCACAGGGGCCCACAAGCCUGCUAGGCGCGCCCCCAGGCCGUGCCUAGGGGGCUUGUGGCUCCCCUGGUGGCCUCUGCCUUGGUUCUCACGUCCCCUGCGUAUCUUCUGUUUUGGAAAAAAUCUUUUCGGAAGUUUUAUUCCGUUUGGGCUCCGUUUAAUAUUCUCCUCUGAAAGGGGUCAAAAACACGUAAAAAACAGGAACUGGCACUUGGCACUGAGUUAAUAAGUUAGUCCCAAAAAAGAUAUAAAAGGCAUACGAAACAUCCAAAGUUUGACAAGAUAAUAGCAUGGAACCAUCAAAAAUUAUAGAUACGUUGGAGACGUAUCAUUGUUCUUGCCAGUAUUACAAGGUAUAAAGUUGAGUAAGACUCAGUGUCCAAUAACUGCGGAAGAUAGAGAAAAUAUGAGUACCGUCCCCUAUGCUUCAACCAUAGGGUCUAUCAUGUAUGCAAUGAUGUGUACUAGACCGGACGUCAGCCUGGCCAUAAGUAUGACAGGCAUGUUUCAAAGUAAUCCAGGAGUGGAUCACUGGACGGCGGUCAAGAAUAUUUUGAAGUACCUGAAAAGGACUAAGGAAAUGUUUCUUGUUUAUGGAGGUGACGAAGAGCUCGUCGUAAAGGGUUACGUCAAUGAAAGCUUUGACACUGAUCCGGAUGACUCUAAGUCUCAAAUUGGAUACGUAUUUAUUCUUAAUGGGGGUGCGGUAAGCUGGUGCAAUUCCAAGCAAAGCGUCGUAGAAGAUUCUACAUGUGAAGCGGAGUACAUGGCUGCCUCGGAGGCAGCUAAGGAGGGUGUUUGGAUGAAGCAGUUCAUGACAGAUCUUGGAGUUGUGCCAAGCGCACUAAAUCCAAUAACUCUGUUCUGUUACAAUACUAGUGCCAUUGCUUUAGCAAAGGAGCCAAGGUUUCACAAGAAGACCAGACACAUCAAACGACGCUUCAACCUCAUCCGCGACUACGUCGAAGAGAGGACGUAAAUAUUAGCAAAGUGCACACAGAUCUAAAUGUAGUAGAUCCACUGACUAAACCUCUUCCAUAAGCGAAGCAUGAUCAACACAAGAACUGUAUGGGUGUUAGAUUCAUUCCAAUGUAAAUCGCAUAGCAAUGUGAGACUAGAUUAUUGACUCUAGUGCAAGUGGGAGACUGUUGGAAAUAUGCCCUAGAGGCAAUGAUAAAAUAGUUAUUAUUAUAUUUCCUGUUUAAAGAUAAUCGUUUAUUAUCCAUGCUAUAAUUGUAUUGAAUGAAAGCAUAAAUACAUGUGUGGAUAUAUAAACAAAACAAUGUCCCUAGCAAGCCUCUAGUUGGCUACCCAGUUGAUCAAGGAUGGUUAAGGUUUUCUGACCAUAUGCAAGUGUUGUCUCUUGAUAACUAGAUCACAUCAUUAGGAGAAUCAUGUGAUGGACUAGACCCAAACUAUGAACGUAGCAUGUGAUCGUGUCAUUUUGUUGCUAUUGUUUUGUGCGUGUCAAGUAUUCAUUCCUAUGACCAUGAGAUCAUGUAACUCACUAACACCGGAGGAAUACCUUGUGUGUAUCAAACGUCACAACGUUACUGGGUGAUUAUAAAGGUACUCUACAGGUAUCUCCGAAGGUGUCCAUUGAGUUAGCAUGGAUCAAGACUGGGAUUUGUCUCUCUGUGUGACGGAGAGGUAUCUCGGGGCCCACUCGGUAAUACAACAUCACAUACAAGAUUUGCAAGCAAUGUGACUCAAGUGUAAGUCACGGGAUCUCGUAUUACGGAACGAGUAAAGAGACUUGCCGGUAACGAGAUUGAAAUAGGUAUAGGGAUACCGACGAUCAAAUCUCGGGCAAGUAACAUACCGAAGGACAAAGGGAAUGUUAUACGGGANNNNNNNNNNCCUUGCAAGCAAUGUGACUCAAGUAUAAGUCACGGGAUCUUGUAUUACAGAAUGAGUAAAGAGACUUGCCGGUAACGAGAUUGAAAUAGGUAUAGGGAUACNNNNNNNNNNCUAUAUGAAUCCUUCGCACAGAGGUGCAACCGAUAAUAUCUUCGUAGAAUAUGUAGGAUCCAAUAUGGACAUCCAAGUCCCGCUAUUGGAUGUUGACCGAGGAGUGUCUCGGGUCAUGUCUACAUAGUUCUCGAACCCGCAGGGUCUACACACUUAAGGUUCGAUGACGUUUUAGUAUAGUUGAGUUAUAUGUGNNNNNNNNNNUUAUAUGAAUCCUUCGCACAGAGGUUUAACCGAUAAGAUAUUCAUAGAAUAUGUAGGAUCCAAUAUGGACAUCCAGGUCCUGCUAUUGGAUAUUGACCGAGGAGUGUCUCGGGUCAUGUCUACAUAGUUCUCGAACCCACAGGGUUUACACACUUAAGGUUCGAUGACGUUUUAGUAUAGUUGAGUUAUAUGUGUUGGUGACCUAAGGUUUUUCGGAGUUCCGGAUGAGAUCACGGACGUCACGAGGGUUUCCGAAAUGGCCCGGAAACGAAGAUUGAUAUAUAGGAUGGUUUCAUUUGGUCACCGGAAAGUUUUCGGACAUUACCGGCAGUGUACCGGGAGUGACGAAUGGGUUCCGGGUAUUCACCGGAAGGGGCCCACCCACCCGGGAGUGAGCCCAGUAACCCUAGCACUACUGGAAAACAGUUUUUUGCCAUCUGCUGCUUCUUUGCCGUCUGUUGGCUGAUGGCAAAGACCCUCUUUGCCAUCAGCUACGAGAAACCAAACGGCAAAGAGCAAGCUGAUGCUAAAGAUACUAUUUGCCAUCAGCCAGCUCUUUGCCGUCUGCCAGCUCACGGCAAAGAGAAUUCAGGCAGACGACAAAGAGCAUGGGCGGCCCACCCCGCAGCCCCCCUCUCCCCCCUAACGGCCUCUCUCUUUGCCGUCCGCUUUUCUUCUCUGUGCCGUCGGGAGGCGGACGACAAAGAGGGUGCCCCCCUAACGGCCGUUAGCCCCACCCCACGCGCCUCUCUCUCACCCCUAACGGCCACCCCAACCCCUCUCUCUCACCCCCGACGNNNNNNNNNNGAAGGUUGUUCGGAGUCCCGGAUGAGAUCACGUAUGUCACGAGGGUUUCCGGAAUGGUCUGGAAAUGAAGAUUGAUAUAUAGGAUGGUUUUAUUUGGUCACCGGAAAGUUUUCGAACAUUACCGGCAGUGUACCGGAGUGACGAAUGGGUUCCGGGUAUUCACUGGGAGGGGCCCACCCACCCGGGAGUGAGCCCAGUAACCCUAGGGUGGCGCACCAGCCCUUUGUGCACUGGUGAGGCCAGCCCAAGAGGGCUAUGGCGCCACAAGUGUAAAAAACCAAAGGAAAAGAAAAAAAACAAGGAAAGAGGGAGGUGGGAAGCAAGGACUGGACUCCUUCCCCCAAACCGAAUUGGGGUGGGAGUCCACCUCCUCCUCUCGGCCGGCGCCCUAGGGGCUCCCUUGAGCCCUAAGGCUAGCCCCUCCCCUCCUCCUAUAUAUAUUGGUGGUUUUAGGGUUUUUGAUACACAACUUUUUCCACGUGCAACUCAAACCUAUACCACGUAGUUCUUCCUCUAGAUCGGAUUUCUGCGGAGCUCGGAUGGAGCCCUGCAGGAGUAGAUCAUAACCAUCACCGGCUCGUUGUCACUCUGCCGCAGAACUCAUCUACUUCUCUGUAUCUCUUGCUGGAUCAAGAAGGCCGAGAUCGUCAUCGAGCUGUACGUGUGCUGAACGCGGAGGUCCCGUCUGUUCGGCCCUAAAUCGAAACGGGUCGUGGGACGACGGUGAUUCAAAUCACGAAGCUGUACCACUACAUCAACCACGUUUCUUAAACGCUUCCCUCUUAGCGAUCUACAAGGGUAUGUGGUUCCAAUCUCCCUCUCGUAGAUGAACAUCACCAUGAUAGGUCUUCGUGUGCGUAGGAGAAUUUUUGUUUCCCAUGCAACGUUCCCCAACAAUUUUGUGGGUAGGUACAAUUACCAACGUAGGUAUGGUAUUGUUAAUUUGCAGUGCUCUUCCUAUUCUUCUCUAUUUACCUGGGGUAUGAACUCACUUGUUGUUCUUGCUGUUUUUACACGAAGGUGAUAAAUGUGGGCUUGCUGAAUGGGUUGAUCAGCAGUGCUCCCCAACAAUGCAUAAUGCAUUGUUGAAGCUGUGGGCAAUGGUUGAAGUUAGCAAGAGUGCUAGGGUGAUUGAUAAUCUUGAAAGUGAUUUAACUAUUCACCAUCUGACAGUAGAGAAGAACACUCUGGAUGCCAACUAUGACAAGUUAGUUAAAGAUGGGAAUGAACUUAUGGAUUUCCAUGAGGAAAGGGUGCUGGAUUUCAGUUAUCUGUAGUCUAACCUAACUUAUGAGUAGGAAUGCAGAAGUGAACUGGUGGCUGAUAUGAAGGGAGAGAUGGCAAAGAAAGAUGCAGAUCAGCAGAAGCUUAAUGACAAGUAUCUACUCUUGGUUAACCUCACAAGAGCUCAAGCAAUUGUCAUAUAGAAUGUGAAGUUGAAGCAUAUGAAAGAGUGGGAAUUGCUGAGUGAAUCUAGGAUGAAAUUUGCGUCUAGGAAUGCAGAGCUCACAAAGUCUAAGGAGAAGCUCACCCAAGAGACGCUAGAGUUAAAGCUUCACGUUGAUGGUCUAAUUAAGGGAAAGGAAAAGCAUGUUGAAGAGAAGGGCCAGCUAAAGCUUCAAAUUGCUGAUCUCAUGGAGGGAGAUGAGAAGCUCAAGCAGAAGAUCAAGGGGAUUUAGGCCAUCCUAGAGAAAUGACAAGAUGAAUUUGAGAUUAGUGGACAUUGCUAACCUUUUGGGUAGGAUGGUUGUGUAGUGACCUAGUAACUUUGAAUUAUGAUUGUGUAUUGUAUGGUUGUAGUAAUUGUGAACUCUCGUUUUGUAUGUAUCUUGUAGUGAUGCUAGCUAUUCAUCCUUUUUUGACCCAAGGAUGAAGUAUGCAUUUGAACUCCACUAUGUAUUGUUGAACUCCACUAAAUAAUGUGUGAUAUGAUUUCCAGACUAAAAACCAUGAGAUAUCAUGCUUGGAAGAUGGAUCAUGUAUAGUAGAUGGUUAUCUUAUAGUGCCUCAGUAUUAUGUUGAUCAUGGGAUUAGUUGUUUAUAGUAGAUGGUUAUGUUAUACGGCUAGGUUUUGCUAGUUCCAUCAAUUCACAUAACAAAUGAUCAAAUAGACUUAGCAGUGGCAUCAAACCAAAAUAAAACACAAACCAUCAAGCUAUCCAUAACUGCCAACACAAACCAUCAAGUUGUCCAUCAAUACAUACAUACACAAACCAUGAAGUAGACUUAGAAGUGGCAUCAAACCAAAAUAAAACAAAUUGUAGCAUUAGCGAAAGUUUACAUGGCACAUGAGGAAAUUUAGUGGUUUCCACUAGCUGAGAAAUAUGCCAUCCAGCUAGUGUGUGUACCACCACUAGGUGGAGGAGCGCUAGAAAUUGAGGCAGCAUACUGCCUUGGGGCAGAGAAUGGCCUUGAAGUACCUACAACACCUCUCCCAGCAGCACGUGUUGCAGAUCUUGAACAUUGAACCAUAGUAUCACCUGUUGCACAAGAUGCUCGUCGAGUUCCUCUUCCACCAGCAGCCCUUUUUCCACCACCUCUACCAUCACCACUUCUAGUUCCUCUUCCACAUCUUGCAGCGGGAGGAGCUCUUGGUGUUGGAUUUGCAGCACCACUUCGAGCACCACAUCCAUAUCUUGCUCUAGCAGGAGGAGCUCUGGCUAUUGAAUUUGCAGCACCACUACGAGCAGGAGGAGCUCUCGAUGUUGGAGGAGCUCUUUCUUGUAAAUUCCUUGCAGGCUUGGAAAACAAUUAUAGUAAUUUAUUCCAAGUAAGAAAUAAAUAAGGAAAUAGUAAUUUACCAAAAAUUUAAACUAUGAGUUCAAAGGGAAUUGCCAAAUGUUUGUUAUUUCUCAAGGCCAACUCAGGUUUCAAGAGUUUCACGUGGCUUGUAUAUCUAUGCCCUUGUAAUCCACAAUUAGUACAAGUUAUAGUCCCCAUUAUUGAAGUGUCCUUUGGCUUUGGAACUUCAAAUUUUCCCUUGAUCCUCUUCUCUUCCUUCUUCCUUUUUUAACGUCUGGACCAAGGGUCUUUGUACAAUCAUGCUCACUAGGGACCGGGUAUAUCAUUGGUCCAUAUGCAACUAAGUACAAUGGUUUCUUAUUUAUUUUUACUAACAUAGUCCUCUGGAAACCUUUUUCCCUUGUUAAUUGUUGAGAUGACAUGGUUGCAUGGGAUGCCACACAGGUCCUACUUUAUGCAACCAAAAGUGUGAUUUUCCAAAUUCACAACAUGCACUUGCUGCCCACUAGUAACUUGCCAUAGGUUAACGCCUACUUGAAUAGGUUUGCAGUACUUGGCCCUUUCCUUUUCAAUAUCUAACUUUUCUGAAUAAUGUGGUGUGAUCACCCAUCUAGUUGCCUUUGCACUCUCUCUAUUCCUAUGCCACCUAACCAUCAUCUUAUCAUUUAUGCCAUCACACAUUAUCCUUAUAGGUUUUUUCCUGACAUCUAGGAUGUACUUGCUAAAAACGCGAGACAAAUUAUUAACUACCAAGUGACUCUUGAAGUUUGUGUCAAAUGCAUGUCUAGCCCAUGUUUUCCUGGGUAUUGCACUCAACCACUACCAAGCUUCCUUGCUCUCAGCUUUGAUAUCAUCCAUUGCAUUAUUAAUUUUGAGUUCAUUAUAGGCCUAACUUGCAUUAUCCAUGCACUUCUUAAGAUCUUCCCUCCAAAAUCCAACAUUUUGGAAGUUUGCGUAUAUGUGUCUUAGGUAGAAUCUUUAGUGUCACUUAGGAAAUACUGCAUUCACUGCAUUUAGUUGCCCCUCGUGCACACAAUUAACAAGCUAAGCUAUUAUCUAUGUGAUAACAACUACGUUUGGAAAAAAGAUAUAUGCAACACAAAAUGGAAGAUUCAUUCACAUACCUUAUGUUUGUCAGACAUUAUAGUAUAUGGACCAAACUAUCCAACUUCUCCUCCUAGACAUAUUUUUUGUUCGUGUACAUACCAGCAUCAAUUAGGUGUGUCCUCUUGUCCAACAAUGCCAAAUCCAAGUGGGUAGAUGUUGUUAUUUCCAUCUCAACCAGUUGCAGCAAGGAUUUGUGCACUAGUUGUUAGUUUAAUAGAACAUCCAUCAACACGUGAAGAGGACAUUCAAAACAGAUAAGUAUCAAAUGCAUUUAUAUGUGCAAUCAAUUGAAAGAGCAACAAGACAUAAAACAUAAAGUAAAGGAACUAACCAAUGAAUGGUCUACAACCUUUGAGAAAGCCCUACCAUUGAUGCGGUAAAACAUGGCAUGUAAUCUUGGUCCUGGAUGUCGUCGCAAUCGGGGCUCCGCAAACCCAGAAAGGUUCGAACUCUGGGGUGCGCUCGUUCUCCUACCCUGUUCUACCUCUCAACCUCACAGCGACUCUCCGAUGGACCGAGCUAAGGAACAUGAACAAGAACACACACGCAGUUUUUCAAGGUUCAGGUCACCUCGUGGUGUAAAACCCUACUCCUGCUUGUCUGGAUUGCUUUAGGUGGAAGAUGAGUACAAAGGGGGGGGGGUUCUUUCCCUAGUGGAGUUCGUGGAUCCCUUGCUACGGAGGUCGGGCCUCCCUUUUAUACAGACCUUGGUCCUCUCCCCCCCCAAAAAACACACACUUGGCCGGAAGGGUUGCCACAACUUCCAUUUUAAAAGGGGACAUGACUGCAUCCUACUCUCACAAAGCUGGUCUUCGCCUACUAAAGCUUUUGCCAUGACGCGCUGGUCGGCUCGGGGGUGACCUCUGUCCUCCCGAGCCCCCCAGCCUUGGACCCCUUGCACCAAGUAGGAAACCUUUGGGGGUUGCUUUGGGAACCCGCAUGCUGGCUUUGCUCCCUUAACACCAAAGGGGAAUACUUAUCUGUCCGUGCCUGCUAGCAUUGACCCUAGUGCCAUCUUGCUUGGUUCACGUCACCCAUGUGAGGGUGCAGGGUCACACGAUCCUGCCUGGCUGCCCUUGUUAAGUCCGCCCCGUGAGGGCGACGUUAGGAGGCGUAUUCUCGACGCGGACCUCAGGGGGAAUGGCCUCGAGGGGAACUCUGCAGGUUCCUGGCAACCUUUGAUGAUCUGCACCUCGUGAGGAGGGGGCCUCACGAUGGUCAGAUUCCUGGGCCUUGGCACUCCCGGGCCCUCAAUGCGGGCCGUGCCCUGGGCUGCAGACACGUGAGCGUGGGUACCCCCAAUCCCAGGACACCGACAGUCGCCCCCAUUACCGCGACGUGCACGGCCCGACCAAUCAGAUGGCGAAAUGGUGCGGGCUCUCACUGCGUGAAGGACGAUUCAAACGCGUGGCGCGUGACGGGGCACGGGGCGCCCCGCCUUCCCGAAGUGCUUUGGCAUCUCCUCCGUCUCACAUAAAGUGGGCACAUGGGGUGGAGCCAUCAUUACUCACCUUCACGCCACACCCACCUCUCUCUAUCUUCUUCUUCUGUGAAUGACUAUGCCAGAUCCAAUCUCCGACAAGGUCACCUCCUUGUCCCUCUUGCGGCUUCGGCCGACAGAUGACGCUCGCCGGCAAGAAAGGAAAAGCUGCGGGCUCUGCCACAAGAUUCGCCACCGUCGGGCCUGGUCUCAUGCCCUCCCGCGUCUCUGAGGAGGAGGACUUGGGCCCGGUGCUCUCGCUGGUGGCCAGCAAUGCGAACAAGGGGCGAGGGACCGACAUGUUGCCGGGUUCGGCAGCGCCGAGCAGCCUGGUGAAGACCGCCUACCCCUUCUUCCUCCAUAACAUCUACGUGGGUCUGGUCCUGUCGUUCUUUGAUUUGUUCUACGCCAUUCUUUCCCAUUAUCAGAUCCAGGCCCUGCACCUUCAGCCCAACUCCGUCCCCCUCCUGGCUAUCUUUGCCUUUUACUGUGAGGCUUUCAUGGGCAUCAGGCCCUCGGUGGUGCUAUUCCGUCAUUUCUUCAACUUAUGGUUCAUCACCCCGGGCCAGCGCUCCGCGUGUGUCUCCUUCGUUGAUGUCGUGGGCGUGGGCUCCCACCUGAAGACCGGGAAGAAGGCGGAAGGCUACUAACACCAUUGGGUCUUCAUGAACGCGCCCAAGAAGAGUCCGCUCUUGGCGACCCCCACGGGUCCGCCCGAGGAAACCUCCGGGUGGAGCCAAAGGAAGCUCACCGACCCGAGGGCGGGACCUGUCUUGGAGUGAAUCACCGCUCUUGUGGAGGCCUACCUGACGGGGGCGAUGAUAAUCAAGGAGUUCCUGGGGCCUCGCAUCGCAUGGCUCCAGGUCACUCGUGCUCGCUGUGGUAGUUCACCAGCGAGAGGGACCCAAUGCGCCUACACGUCGGUGGCCUAAUGCGCGACGAGCCAGAUGGAUCCAUGGGGCUCUGCUUGGCUUCGAUCUCGAGGACCUUCCGCUCGCCACACCGCCACUGUAUGCGUGCGACAACAUGGAGGAACUGGUCACAGAGAUGCCCAUAUUUGACGAGAGGGGGCUCGUUGGGUUGCACAAGGGUUCCUCCAUCGCGGUGUUGUCCUCGGGUGAGGACGACAACGACCAAGACUCAGAGGCGCCGGAAGGGAAGGAGGAUGCCGGUCGGAUACCACCGCCCAAUCUCCAUCCGUCCUUGUGCAACCUUGGGGCUGACGUUGCCUUGUAUGAGCGGCACCGGGCGAUUCCCGUGGGCCCAUGGCCUCGGGAGAAGGAGCAGGGUCAAGCCCCAUGGCAGCCGAUGUGCCGACGGUGGGAGCUUCUGACGAUGGUGUGGUGCUCGCCAUGGCAACUGAUGUACCUCUCCGGGGACACCUGAGGACCCAGAGAGGAGGGAGGUCAGGCGAACUCAUCGGGGACCGCAUCAAGCGCCCCUCUGGUGGUGGCGGGGCAAUGUGUGAAGGCGGCGAAGGCGCGCAACCCGCCGUCGAGAAGAAGAGGAAGUGGAGCGCAGGGGACGAGUAAGAACCUUAGUCAUCCUCAUGCUCUUCACCCGUGAUUGGUUUAUUUAGGGGAACCCUUCUUCAGCGCAGACGCCCAAGUGACAAAGGCGGCGCUUGUCACGAGGGUGCCCUCAUCCGUUGGUUCGAGCCUUGGCAGGUGCGGGGGCGGCUUGCGCCGGCCGGGUGUCGUGCUCGGGCGUAUGGGCGCCACUGCAGCUCCAAGUGUCUCCUUAGUGCGGAGAGAGAGCCCGGGGGCCACGAUCACGAUGUCCUAGCCCCGGCGCCACCAGCCAAGGCCACGGCGGUCCAUCCCCUGGCGCCAUCUACCGAGGCCGUAGCGGCUCAGCUCGCGUGGAAGGAAGGAGUGUCUCAGCCUCCAUCGGUCGUCCUGACGCCCGGAGCCAGCACCAACACAGGACACGAUGUGGGACGUCCUUAGUCUGCGGUCACCAUCGGGGCCCCGAGGUUGGUGCGACGGCCUCUACAAGUGCGUCGUGGAUUCCAGGUUCGUGGGAGAACCGAGAGCCCCUCUGCAUCAAGCGAAGGGCGUCAGGGUCGCUCUGGUUACAGCAUGGGAAAGCACCAGGACGGCGGCCCCUCGGGAGGUCCUUGCCUUGGCGGGCUAGGACGUGUUUCUCAUGCGUGGGGCCCUGACCGACGCGCGAGACACGCUCACGUGGCUCGGGGCAGGCAUUCAGAAUGUGCUUGACCUGCUCGAGGUGGAUUUCUGGGACGCCGAGGCGCGCUUGGCCGCGGAGCAGACGAGGUUAACCGUGGGGUGGAGACAACUUGACGCCUCGGCCAAGGAGGCCCAAGGCAAGGUCGAGUCCAUACAUAAGGAGGGCCAAAGGAGGCCACCGAGGCAAAGGGAAGUCGCGCAAGCGCUAUUGUCGAGAAGGAGGCAUGAUACGUCUCCAACGUAUAUAUAAUUUUUGAUGGUUUCAUGCUAUUAUCUUGUCAAACUUUGGAUGUUUUGUAUGCCUUUUAUAUUUUUUUUGAGACUAACCUAUUAACUCAGUGCCAAGUGCCAAUUCCUGUUUUUUCCAUGUUUUUGACCCCUUUCAGAGGAGGUUUUACACGGAGUCCAAAUGGAACGAAACUGCCAAAAAGAUUUUUUCCGAAACAGAAAAAGAUCGCGAAGCAUGAGAAUCAGGGCAGGGGGCCACCAGGGACCCCACAAGCCACCUAGCCGCGGCCAGGGGGGCCCGCGCCUCCCAGGCUUGUGGGCUCCCUGGGCCUCCUCUGCCCUAGGCCUUUCGCCUAAAAAUUCCCUAAUAUCCCAGAAAAAAUCAGGAGAUCAUCGAAAGUACUUUUCUGCCGCCGCAAGCUUCUGUCUCUGCAAGACCCCAUCUAGGGCGCGUUCUGGUGCCCUGCCGAAGGGGGGGAUUCGGAUACGGAGGGCUUCUUCAUCAACACCAUGACCUCUAAGAUGAUGUGUGAGUAGUUCACCAUAGACCUACGGGUCCAUAGCUAGUAUCUAGAUGGCUUCUUCUCUCUCUCUUGGAUCUUCAAUACAAAGUUCUCCAUGAUCUUCAUGGAGNNNNNNNNNNNNNNNNNNNNNNNNNNNNNNNNNNNNNNNNNNNNNNNNNNNNNNNNNNNNNNGAUUUAUGACCAGAUUAUCUAUGAAUCUUAUUUGAGUUUCUUCUGAUCUCUCUUAUGCAUGAUUUCAUAUCCUUGUAAUUCUCUUCGACUUGUGGGUUUUGUUUGGCCAACUAGAUCUAUGACUCUUGCAAUGGGAGAAGUGCUUGGUUUUGGGUUCAUACCGUGCGGUGANNNNNNNNNNCUAGAUCUAUGAUUCUUGCAAUGGGAGAAGUGCUUGGUUUUGGGUUCAUACNNNNNNNNNNUCACGCAUCGUGUUGUUGCCAUCAAGGGUAAAAAGAUGGGGUUUUCAUCAAUGGUUUGAGAUUAUCCCUCUACAUCAUGUCAUCUUGCUUAAAGCGUUACUUUGUUCAUCAUGAACUCAAGACACUAGAUGCAUGCUGGAUAGUGGUCGAUUUGUGGAGUAAUAGUAGUAGAUGCAGAAAGUAUCAGUCUACUUUUCUCGGACGUGAUGCCUAUAUGUAUGAUCAUUGCCUUAGAUAUCGUCAUGACUUUGCGCGAUUCUAUCAAUUGCUCGACAGUAAUUUGUUCACCCACCAUGAUAUUUGCUAUUUUUAAAGAAGCCUCUAUUGAGCACUACGGCCCCCGGGUCUACUCCACACCAUAUUUUCAGCCUUACACUUUUUUUUCGUUUCACUUUCCGCCUACAAAUCUAACUUUGCAAUCAAUCUUGAAGGGAUUGACAACCCCUUUAUAGCACUGGGUGCAAGCUCUUUUCUGUUUGUGCAGGUACUCUGAACUUGACGAGAUUCUCCUACUAGAUUGAUACCUUGGUUCUCAAACUAAGGGAAAUACUUACUGCUCCUAUGCUGCAUCACCCUUUCCUCUUCAAGGGAAAAACCAACGCAAGCAAGUCUCUGUCAACGUGUCAAAUUCUGGCGCUGUUGUUUGAGAAGUAGCAGAAGGAUUUCUGGCGCCGUUGCCGGGGAGGAUCCAGUCAAGAACUCAUCCAAGUAAGUGUCGCAAACUCAUCUCUCCAUUUACUUUUUUGCCUCUCGUUUUCCUCGCCCCCACUUCUGAAAAACAAAAAUUUUCAUUUUUUUGCAUUUUCGUUUGCCUUUUUCGUUUGCCCUUUCUUUCGCUUGCUUUCUGUUUUCUUGUGUUACCAUGUGCCUUCAAUAUGCUUGCAUCUUCGCUUGCUGAAAAUCUAUUGAUAUGGAUCCUCAUCCACUUGCUAAUCUCUUUAAGAGAUCCAAUUANNNNNNNNNNNNNNNNNNNNNNNNNNNNNNNNNNNNNNNNNNNNNNNNNNNNNNNNNNNNNNNNNNNNNNNNNNNNNNNNNNNNNNNNNNNNNNNNNNNNAGUUUUAGUAUUCUUGCCCAUGAGGCAUGGUUCGCACGUGUCAAGUGAAUCAAAGUCAAGUGACUCCAAAUGUCCAUCGGUAUGGAGUUUCUUCAUGCGCUUUACACCAAUAUGACCUAAGCGGCAGUGCCAUCAAAACAUGGCGCUAUCAUUGUUAACUCUAACUCUUUUGGUCUCAAUGUUAUGUAUAUGUGUAUUAUCACUAUCAAGAUUCAAUAUGAACAAUCCUCUCACAUUGGGUGCAUGACCAUAAAAUAUAUUAAUCAUAGAAAUAGAACAAACAUUAUUCUCUGACUUAAACGAGUAACCGUCUCGCAAUAAACAAGAUCCAUAUAUAAUGUUCAUGCUUAACGCAUGCACUAAAUAACAUUUAUUCAAGUUCAUAACUAAUCCUGAUGGUAACUGAAGUGAAACUGUGCCGACGGCAAUUGCAUCAACCUUGGAACCAUUUCCCACGCGCAUCGCCACUUCAUCCUUCGCCAGCCUUCGCUUAUUCCGCAGUUCCUGUUUCGAGUUGCAAAUAUGAGCACCAGAACCGGUAUCGAAUACCCAGGCACUACUACGAGAGCUGGUUAAGUACACAUCAAUAACAUGUAUAUCGAAUAUACCUGAUUUUUCUUUGGCCACCUUCUUAUCAGCCAGAUACUUGGGGCAGUUGCACUUCUAGUGACCCAUACCCUUGCAAUAAUAACACUCCAUUUUAGGCUUAGGUCCAUCUUUGGGUUUCUUCGUCGGAUUGGCAACAGGCUUGCCGCUCUUCUUUGAAUUACCCUUCUUUCCUUUGCCGUUUCUCUUGAAACUAGUGGUCUUAUUCACCAUCAACACUUGAUGCUCUUUACGGAGUUCUGACUCUGCGACUUUGAGCAUCGCGAAUAACUCGCCGGGUGACUUGUUCAUCCCAUGCAUGUUAUAGUUUAACACAAAGCCCUUAUAGCUUGGCGGCAGUGAUUGAAGAAUUCUGUCAGUGAUUCCCUCUUGUGGGAGUUCAAUCCCCAGCUCAGCUAGAUGGUUUGAGUACCCAGACAUUUUGAGCACAUGUUCACUAACAGACGAAUUCUCCUCCAUCUUGCAAGCAUAGAAUUUAUCGGAGGUCUCAUACCUCUCGAUCCGGGCGUUCUUCUGAAAGAUAAACUUCAACUCCUGGAACAUCUCAUAUGCUCCAUGACGCUCAAAGCAACGUUGAAGUCCCGGCUCUAAGCCAUACAAGACUGCACAUUGAACUACUGAGUAGUCCUCCUUACAUGUUAACCAAGCGUUCUUAACAUCUUGGUCAGCCGUAGCGGGUGGUUCAUCUCCUAGCGCAGCAUUAAGGACAUAAUCCUUCUUGCCAGCUUGCAGGAGCAACUUAAGUUUACGAGCCCAGUCUACAAAGUUGCUUCCAUUAUCUUUCAACUUAGCUUUCUCUAGGAACGUACUAAAAUUCAGGGUGACUGUCGCGUGAGCCAUUGAUCUACAACACAAAUAUAUUCAAAGUGGACUUAGACUAUGUUCAAGAUAAUAAGAGUUUAACUAAUCAAAUUACUUUUUAAACUCCCACUCAAAAAGUACAUCUCUCUAGUCAUUUGAGUGGUUCAUGAUCGAGUUCCACUAGCUCAAGUCCGAUCAUCACGUGAGUUGAGGGUAGUUUCAGUGGUAAGCAUCCCUAUGCUAAUCAUAUAAACUAUAUGACUCAUGAUCGACCUUUCGGUCUCAUGUGUUCCGAGGCCAUGUCUGCACAUGCUAGGCUCGCCAAGCUUAACCCGAGUGUUCCGCGUGUGCAACUGUUUUGCACCCGUUGUAUGUGAACGUUGAGUCUAUCACACCCGAUCAUCACGUGGUGUCUCGAAAUGACGAACUGUAGCAACGGUGCACAGUCGAGGAGAACACAAUUUUGUCUUGAAAUUUUAGUGACAGGUCACCUCAUAAUGCUACUGUCGUUCUAAGCAAAAUAAGGUGCAUAAAAGGAUUAACAUCACAUGCAAUUCAUAAGUGACAUGAUAUGGCCAUCAUCACGUGCUUCUUGAUCUCCAUCACCAAAGCACCGACACGAUUUCUUGUCACCGUCGCCACACCAUGAUCUCCAUCAACGUGUCGCCAUCGGGCUUGUCGUGCUACUCAUGCUAUUACUACUAAAGCUACAUCCUAGCAAUAUAGUAAGCGCAUCUGCAAGCACAAACAUUAGUUUAAAGACAACCCUAUGGCUCCUGCUGGUUGCCGUACCAUCGACGUGCAAGUCGACAUUAACUAUUACAACAUGAUCAUCUCAUACAUCCAAUAUAUCACAUCACAUCGUUGGCCAUAUCACAUCACAAGCAUACCUUGCAAAAACAAGUUAGACGUCCUCUAAUUGUUGUUGCAUGUUUUACGUGAUGACCAUGGGUAUCUAGUAGGAUCGCAUCUUACUUACGCAAACACCACAACGGAGAUGUAUGAAUUUCUAUUUAACCUCAUCCAAGGACCUCCUCGGUCAAAUCCGAUUCAACUAAAGUUGGAGAAAUCGACACUCGCCAGUCAUCUUUAAGCAACGGGGUUGCUCGUAGCGAUGAAACCAGUCUCUCGUAAGCGUACGAGUAAUGUCGGUCCAAGCUGCUUCGAUCCAACAAUACCGCGGAAUCAAGAAAAGACUAAGGAGGGCAGCAAAUCGCACAUCACUGCCCACAAAAACUUUUGUGUUCUACUCGAGAUGACAUCUACGCAAGAGCCUAGCUCAUGAUGCCACUGUUUGGGGAACGUCGCGUGGGAAACAAAAAAAUUCCUACGCGCACGAAGACCUAUCAUGGUGAUGUCCAUCUCCGAGAGGGGAUUUGGAUUUACGUACCCUUGUAGAUCGCACAGCAGGAAGCAUUAAGAAACGCGAUUGAUGUAGUGGCGCCGGUGACAAGAAGAUCAUGCCGGUGCUUUGGUGAUGGAGAUCAAGAAGCAUAAGAUCAUGGCCAUAUCAUGUCACUUAUGAAUUGCAUGUGAUGUUAAUCCUUUUAUGCACCUUAUCUUGCUUCGAACGAUGGUAGCAUUAUAAGAUGAUCCCUCACUAAAUUUCAAGAUACAAUUGUGUUCUCCCCGACUGUGCACCAUUGUGACAGUUCGUCGUUUCGAGACACCACGUGAUGAUCUGGUGUGAUAGACUCAACGUUCACAUACAACGGGUGCAAAACAGUUGCANNNNNNNNNNGGCGCAACACUCGGGUUAAACUUGACGAGCCUAGCAUGUGCAGACAUGGCCUCAGAACACAUGAGACUGAAAUGUCGAGCAUGAAUCAUAUAGUUGAUAUGAUUAGCAUAGAGAUGUUUACCACUGAAACUAUACUCAACUCACGUGAUGAUCGGACUUGAGGUAGUCAAUUUGGAUCAUGCACCACUCAAAUGACUAGAGGGAUGUAUUUUUUGAGUGGGAGUUUAUUAGUAAUUUGAUUAGUUAAACUCUAAUUAUCUUGAACAUAGUCUAAGUCCACUUUGCAAUAUUUUAUGUUGUAGAUCAAUGGCUCACGGAGUAGCAACCCUGAAUUUUAAUAUGUUCCUAGAGAAACCUAAGUUUAAAGAUGAUGGAAGCAACAUUGUAGACUGCGCACGUAAUCUUAGGCUCAUCCUAAAAGCUGGGAAAAAUAAUUAUGUCCUUGAUGCUGCACCAGGAGAUGAACCACCCGCUUCGUCUGACCAAGAUGUUUUGAACGCUUGGCAAUCGCGUAAGGAGGACUACUUAGUAGUUUAAUGUGCAGUUUUGUAUGGCUUAGAACCAGGACGUCAACGUCGCUUUGAGCGUCAUGGAGCAUAUGAGAUGUUCCAGGAGUUGAAGUUUAUCUUUCAGAAGAACACCCGGAUCGAGAGGUAUGAGACCUCCGGUAAAUUCUAUGCUUGCAAGAUGGAGGAGAAUUUGUCUCUCAGUGAACAUGUGCUCAAAAUGUCUGGGUACUCAAACGGUCUAGCUAUAAGAGAUUUGUGUUGAACUAUAACAUGCAAGGGAUGAACAAGUCACCCGGCGAGUUAUUCGCGAUGCUGAAAGUCGCAGAGUCAGAACUCCGAAAAGAGCAUCAAGUGUUAUGGUCAAUAAGACCACUCGUUUCAAGAAAAACGGCAAAGGCUAGAAGGGUAACUCCAGGAAGAGCGGCAAGCCUAUUGCCAAUCCGACGAAGAAACCCAAGGUUGGACCUAAGCUGAAACAAAGUGUUAUUAUUGCAAGGGAAUGGGUCACUCGAAGCGCAAAUCCCCUAAGUAUUUGGCUGAUAAGAAGGCGGCCAAAGAAAAAUCAGGCAUCUGUGAUAUACAUAUUGAUGUGUACUUAACCAACUCUCAUAGUAGUGCGUGGGUAUUUGAUACCGGUUCUGUUGCUUAUAUUUGCAACUCAAAACAGGAACUGCGGAAUAAACGAAGGCUGGCGAAGGAUGAAGUGAUGAUGCGCAUGGGAAAUGGUUCCAAGGUCGAUGCAAUCGCUGUCGGCACAGUCUCACUUCAGAUACCGUCAGGAUUAGUUAUGAACUUAAAUAAUUGUUAUUUAGUGCCUGCGUUAAGCAUGAACAUUAUAUCUGGAUCUUUUUUAUUGCGAGGCGGUUACUCGUUUAAGUCACAGAAUAAUGGUUGUUCUAUUUCUAUGAGUAAUAUCUUUUAUGGUCAUGCACCCAAUGUGAGAGGAUUGUUCAUAAUGAAUCUUGAUUGCGAUGAUACACAUAUACAUAACAUUGAGACCAAAAGAUGUAGAGUUAACAAUGAUAGCGCCACCUUUUUGUGGCACUGCCGCUUAGGUCAUAUUGGAGUAAAGUGCAUGAAGAAACUCCAUUCCGAUGGACUUUUGGAGUCACUUGAUUUUGAAUCACUUGACACGUGCGAACCAUGACUCAUGGGCAAGAUGACUAAGACUCCGUUCUCCGGAACAAUGGAGCGUGCAAGUGACUUGUUGGAAAUCAUACAUACCGAUGUGUGUGGUCCGAUUAGUGUGGAGGCAUGCGGCGGAUAUCGUUAUUUUCUCACCUUCACUGACAAUUUGAGUAGAUAUGGUUAUGUCUACUUGAUGAAGCACAAGUCUGAAACAUUUGAAAAGUUCAAGCAAUUUUAGAGUGAAGUCGAAAAUCAUCGUGACAAGAAGAUCAAGUUCCUACUGUCUAAUCAUGGGGGUGAAUAUCUGAGUUUCGAGUUUGGUGCUCACUUCAGACAAUGUGGAAUAGUUUCAUAGUUGACAUCGCCUGGAACACCACAGCAUAAUGGUGUGUCCGAACGUCGUAAUCGUACUUUGUUAGAUAUGGUGCGAUUUAUGAUGUCUCUUACCGAUUUGCCGUUAUCAUUUUGGGGUUAUGCNNNNNNNNNNCAGUUGACACCGCCUGGAACACCACAGCGUAAUGGUGUGUCCGAACGUCGUAAUCGUACUUUGUUAGAUAUGGUGCAAUUUAUGAUGUCUCUUACCGAUUUGCCGUUAUCAUUUUGGGGUUAUGCAUUAGAGACAGUUGCAUUCACUUUAAAUAGGGCAUCAUCAAAAUCCAUUGAGGCGACACCAUACGAACUGUGGUAUGGCAACAGACCAAAGUUGUCAUUUCUUAAAGUUUGGGGAUGUGAUGCUUAUGUCAAAAACCUUCAGCCUAAAAAGCUGGAACCAAAGUAGAAAAGUGCGUCUUCAUAGGUUACCCAAAAGAGACAGUUGGGUAUACCUUCUAUCUCAAAUCCGAGGGCAAAGUGUUUGUUGCUAAGAAUGGAGCUUUUCUCGAGAAGGAGUUUCUCUUGAGAGAAUUGAGUGGGAGGAAGAUAGAACUUGAUGAGGUUGUCGAACCUCUCAUCCCUCUGGAUGGUGGCGCAGGGCAAGGGGAAACCCCUGACGUUGCGACGCUGGUUCAGGAGGAAGUUGAUGAUGAUCAUCAUGAAACUCUGGAUCAAGUUCCUAUCGGACCUCGCAGGUCAACGAGAUCGCGUACUGCUCCAGAGUGGUACGGUAAUCCCGUCUUAUCAAUUAUGUUGUUGGACAACAAUGAACCUGCGAAUUAUGAAGAAGCAAUGGUGGGCCCGGAUUCCAACAAAUGGUAGAGGCCAUGAAGUCCGAGAUAGGAUCUAUGUAUGAGAACAAAGUGUGGACUUUGGAAGUACUACCUGAAGGCCGCAAGGCUAUUCAGAACAAAUGGAUCUUUAAGAAGAAGACGGACGCUGACGGUAAUGUGACUGUUUAUAAAGCUCGACUUGUGGCAAAGGGUUUUUCACAAGUUCAAGGAAUUGACUACGAUGAGACGUUCUCACCCGUAGCGAUGCUUAAGUCCGUCAGAAUCAUGUUAGCAAUAGCUGAUUUUUCGAUUAUGAAAUUUGGCAGAUGGAUGUCAAAACGGUGUUCCUUAACGGUUUCCUUAAGGAAGAGUUGUAUAUGAUGCAACCCGAAGGUUUUGUCGAUCCUAAAAAUUCUAACAAAGUGUGCAACCUCUAGAGAUUCAUUUAUGGACUGGUGCAAGCAUCUUGGAGUUGGAAUGAACACUUUGAUGAGGUGAUCAAAGCAUUUGGGUUUAUACAGGUGGUUGGAGAAUCCUGUAUUUACAAGAAAGUGAGUGGGAGCUCUGUGGCAUUUCUAAUAUUAUAUGUGAAUGACAUAUUGCUGAUUGGAAACAACGUGGAGUUUUUGCAGAGCAUAAAAGGUUACUUGAAUAAAAGUUUCUCUAUGAAGGACCUAGGAGAAGCUGCUUACAUUCUAGGCAUUAAGAUAUAUAGGGAUAGAUUGAAACGCGUGAUAGGACUUUCACAAAGCACAUACCUUGAUAAAGUUUUGAAGAAGUUCAAAAUGGAUCAGUCCAAGAAAGGGUUCUUGAAAGUAUUACAAGGUAUAAAAUUGAGUAAGACUCAGUGCCCAGCAACUGAGGAAGAUAGAAAGGAAAUGAGUUCUGUCCCCUAUGCUUCACCCAUAGGUUCUAUCAUGUAUGCAAUGUUGUGCACUAGACCGAACGUUAGCUUAGCCAUAAGUAUGGCAGGAAGGUUUUAGAGUAAUCCAGGAGUGGAUCACUGGACGGCGGUCAAGAAUAUCCUGAAGUACCUGAAAAGGACUAAGGAGAUGUUUCUCGUAUAUGGAGGUGACGAAGAGCUCGCCGUAAAUGGUUACGUCGAUGCAAGCUUUGACACAGAUCUGGACGAGUCUAAGUCACAGACUGGAUACAUAUUUUUUCUUAAUGGGGGUGCGGUAAGCUCGUGCAGUUCCAAGAAAAGCAUCGUAGCUGAUUCCACAUGUGAAGCGGAGUACAUGGCUGCUUCGGAGGUAGCUAAGGAGGGUGUCUGGAUGAAGCAGUUCAUGAAGGAUCUUGGAGUUGUGUCGAGCGCACUGAAUCCAAUAACCCUGUUUUGUGACAACACGGCUACCAUUGCCUUAGCAAAGGAACCACGGUUUCACAAGAAGACCUGACACAUAAAACGACGCUUCAACCUCAUCCGCGACUAUGACGAGGAGGGGGGCGUGAAUAUAUGCAAAGUGCACAUGGAUCUGAAUGUGGCAGACACGCUGACUAAACCUCUUCCACGGGCAAAGCAUGAUCAACACCAGAACUGUAUGGGUGUUAGAUUUAUUACAAUGUAAUUCGCAUGGCGAUGUAAGGACUAGAUUAUUGACUCUAAUGCAAGUGGGAGACUAUUGGAAUUAUGCCCUAGAGGCAAUGAUAAAUAAGUUGUUAUUAUAAUUCCUGUAUCAAGAUAAUCGUUUAUUAUCCAUGCUAUAAUUGUAUUGAAUGAAGACUUAUAUACAUGUGUGGAUACAUAGACAAAACACUUUUCCUAGCAAGCCUCUAGUUUGCUAGCCAGUUGAUCAAGGAUAGUCUGGGUCUUCUGACUAUGUACAAGGUGUUGUUCUUGAUAACUGGAUCACAUCAUUGGGUGAAUCAUGUGAUGGACUAGACCCAAACUAAUAGACGUAGCAUGUUGAUCGUGUCAUUUUGUUGCUACUGUUUUCUGCGUGUCAAGUAUUUAUUCCUAUGACCAUGAGAUCAUAUAACUCACUGGCACUGGAGGAAUGCUUUGUGUGUAUCAAACAUCACAACGUAACUGGGUGACUAUAAAGAUGCUCUACAGGUAUCUCUGAAGGUGUCUGUUGAGUUAGUAUGGAUCAAGACUGGGAUUUGUUACUCCGUUUGACGGAGAGGUAUCUCGGGGCCCACUCGAUAAUACAACAUCACACACAAGCCUUGCAAGCAAUGUGACUUAGUGUAAGUCACGGGAUCUUUUAUUACGGAACGAGUAAAGAGACUUGCCGAUAAACGAGAUUGAAAUAGGUAUGCAGAUACUCACGAUCGAAUCUCGGGCAAGUAACAUACCGAAGGACAAAGGGAAUGACAUACGGGAUUAUAUGAAUCCUUGGCACUGAGGUUCAACCAAUAAGAUCUUCGGAGAAUAUGUAGGAUCCAAUAUGGGCAUCCAGGUCCUGCUAUUGGAUAUUGACCGAGGAGUCUCUCGGGUCAUGUCUACAUAGUUCUCGAACCCACAGGGUCUACACACUUAAGGUUCGGCGUUGCUUUAUGCGUAUUUGAGUUAUAUGGUUGGUUACCGAAUGUUGUUCGGAGUCCCGGAUGAGAUCACGGACGUCAUGAGGGUUUCCGCAAUGGUUUGUAGACGAAGAUUUAUAUAUAGGAUGACCUCAUUUGAUUACCGGAAAGUUUUCGGCAUUACCGGGAAUGUACCGGGAGUGGGGAAUGGGUUCCGGAUGUUCACCGGGGGGGCAGCCCACCCGGGGGAAGCCCAUAGGUCUUAGGCGUGCCGUAGCAGCCCCUGCGUAGGAGAUAAGAAAAAUCAAAGAGAAAAAAAGGGGAAGUGGGAAUGAAGAGAAGGACUCCACCUUCCAAUCCUAGUUGGACUAGGAUUGGAGGAGGAUUCCUCCUCCCCCCUUUCGUCCGACCCCUUGGGGCUCCCUUGAGCCUCAAGGCAAGGUCCCUCCCCUCUCUCCUAUAUAUACUAAGGUAUUAGGGCUGAUUUGAGACAACUUUGCCACGGGAGCCCGACCACAUACCUCCACUGUUUUUCCUCUAGAUCGCGAUUCUGCGGAGCUUGGGCGGAGCCCUGCUGAGAUAAGAUCACCACCAACCUCCGGAGCGCCGUCACGCUGCCGGAGAACUCAUCUACCACUCCGUCUCUCUUGCUGGAUCAAGAAGGACGAGAUCAUCGUCAAGCUGUACGUGUGUUGAACGCGGAGGUGCCGUCCGUUGGCACUAGAUCGGAGCGGAUCGUGGGACGGUUCGUGGGACGGUUCGCGGGGCGGAUCGAGGGACGUGAGGACGUUCCACUACAUCAACCGCUUUUCUUAACGCUUCCUGUUGUGCGAUCUACAAGGGUACGUAGAUCCAAAUCCCCUCUCGUAGAUCGACAUCACCAUGAGAGGUCUUCGUGCGCGUAGGAAUUUUUUUGUUUCCCAUGCGACGUUCCCCGACAAUAGGUUUGAGUUGCACGUGGCAAAAGUUGUGUCUCAAAAGCCCUAAAACCACCAAUAUAUAUAGGAGGAGGGUACGGGCUAGCCUUGGGGCUCAAGGGAGCCCCAUGGGCGCCGGCCGAGAGGAGGAGAUGGACUACCACCCCAAUUCGGUUUGGGGGAAGGAGUCCACUCCUUCCUUCCCACCUCCCUCUUUCCAUGUUUUUUUCUUUUCCUUUGGUUUUUUCCACUUGUGGCGCAAUAUCCCUAUUGGGCUAGCCUCACCAGCCCACUAAGGACUAGUGCGCCACCCUACACUACAGGGAUUAGCUUCUUUGUCGUCUACCAUCACAGACGGCAAAGAAUAAAUCCCGGACGGCAAAGUGAAUACCACAGACGGCAAAGAAUCUCACGGCCGGCAAAAUUUCUGUAGCGACCCGACUCAAAACGAGUCAAGCCUCUGUGUAUUUGUGUCAUCCCUGGAUCAGUAUGCUGGCACACACAGUACAUCAAUGUAUAUAUCAAAGUGCAAUCACAUGUAAAAUAGCGUAAAACUGAUAUAUACCUUAAAUAUCUCAGUGGAAACGGUCAAGGGAGUGGAGUCCCAAUAAACACCAACGGCAAGUUGAGUGUAGACCGUAACCCUGAAUCGUACUCUUACUCGUCGAAGAAAAAUAUCUGCAACAUAAUACGUUGCAGCCGUGUAGGUCAGCAUAUUGAAUAUGCCGGCAAGUCACAUAAGAGAGGGGUGAAAAGUAAUCAUCUAUACUAUAUGCAUAUAUGGCAGGUGGGGCUAUAAGUUUUCAGCGAAAAGCAAGUUUUCUCCUACAUCAAGAGAGGUCUAAAAGCAAAAUAUUACUACAUUGUUGGUUGUUAACGAUAUGGUUCCACCAACCAAUCCCCGUACCCGAGUUGUCAAUAAUUACCCUCAUCAAAUAUAUAUAAUGGUGUUGAGAAAUCCAGAUAACUUCAGUUCCUUUGGCUCAAGUUGUCCAUGACCGUGGACACGGCUAAUCGAUUAGGUUUGAGUACUCUGCAGAGUUUUGCACACGUUCCCCACAAGAUUUGAUCGCCUCCGAGUAUGUCCUCGCACUUCAGGGUGUUUGAAGACCGGAUGAUCAAAACAUGGUCUUUCAACGGGUCCCUCUGAAUCCCUGUUGGUGCCCAUCCAUUCCUACAGUUCUUCGACAUCUGCUAGCACCGCCUGUCCAGAGUCGCCGCGUUGUCCAACCAAGCCAGAGCCCAUAAUGACUUGUGGCUGUGCAGGUAAGCCUUGGGUCUUGAAAAUAUCCGUCCGUCUCUUUGAGCCUGGGUGAAGCUUUCCGCAGGAUGUCAUGGCCGUCCCCAGCAUCCCGGGUCAUCCACUGGUUUCUCCAAGGAGCCGAUCAACUGUCCUUCACCCAGAGUUGCAUUGCAUCAUGAGGUCUUGAAAAGUCUUGACUUAACCGGUCUUGGUUAUUAAAUUAUUCUCGCAUCACUCGUGAUAAACUCUCAACCAGAAUCCCGUCUACUCAAGUAUAGCAAUAUGAAAUUUGUCGUCCCGGGCCAAGUAACGGGGUUGUUGGGUGCCUACCACAUGAUACUACAAUAUGUAACCAUAAUUUCCAAGUACCUACUCAGCAUGCAAUUCGGUAUAGGAUGGUAGAACUACGAUGCAUAAAACAUAGGUGAUACAUGAUCAAAUGACUUGCCUGGUAUUACUUGAUGAAGAUAGUCGCUCUCAAAAUCCUGAUAAUUCUACUCGCCACACUCCGAGCAAUCUAUCGUAAACAAAUAGCAUUCAAUAAACAUUCAUGCCAAAAAGGAAGAACCAAAAGAACAUAAGAACAAAACAUGUCUUUGUGCAAAAUAACAACAUACUAAGGUUUAAUAAAAAAAAUAGGUUCUAAGUGUGUUGUAAAGGAAAGGUGAAAGGGGUCAACUCAAAAGAGUCAAAGGAUGAUCAACUAUCGCUAUAUAAGCACGACUUGCAUACACUAUGGGAGAUGAUAAAAAAUAUUGGGAGAACAACAUGAAUGUUGUUUGACAAAUAAUAUAAGGCAUAAGAAUUUAUUUGUAGAAAGAAUUUCUUGAAAUUGAGCACUACAACGCAAGUUAUAGCGAAUUGAAGUAUGAAUAGAAUUUGAAUUCCAUCAAGGUCAAAAGUAUUUGAAUUGGAGCAUGGUUGUUAUGAAUAGGAAAGUACAUAACACUAGUCUUUAGGGGCAAAAGAAAUCAAUGGAAAAGGUGCUACUGUUUGCAAGGUAAGAUCAAAUGAAUGUUCGAAUACAAAUUUGAAUCGCUCAAAUUUGUAAGGUUCAAAGGUCGAAACUAAUGAUGUACUGGAUAUAGGAGAUCAAUAUGAGCGUGUAGAAAAAAGAAUUACUAGAUUUGAAAUAGCGGAUCAAAAGAUACAAAUACUUGAAUAUAACAUUGAAUCGGCUUAGAACAAUGUGAACACUUUUGGGCACUAAUAGAUAAAUCUGAUUUGAUCAAAAUUAUAAGUUGAAAAGUUAAAACUAAUGAUACAAAUGGGAAGAUUACUUUGAUACGAAUCCGACGCAGUUGGAUUCAUCUAAAACGGAGCUACGGAUAAAAAGAUAUGAUCAAAAGAAGUUUGAAUAUGAAUAUGAACAAAUUUCGAAAUUUGAAAAUUUCAAAAAGUUGAUAUGAUAGGUUCACGGGAUAGGUGGGAUCAAGACGAAACUCUAGGCGUUGGUUUCAUCUAAUUCGGAUAAACGAGUAAAAAGUUAUGGCUAUUUGAAAAAUCAGGGCCAAGCUGUUUUACGGAAGAAAAAUGCUACGUCUAAAAGAAUUCUAGUACUAAUGUGUAAAUACGAAGACUAAUUAAUAUAUCUAAUUACUCUACCGUAUACUAGUGUAGGAAUACUAGUCUAGAAAUAAUAAACUACGGGAGUAAAAAAAUAUAGGAAGAAAAAUACCUUUAGAAUGCAGAGUAAGAAUUAAUUCCAAUGAGGAGACGACUUCGAGAAAUCCCGCCGAAGANNNNNNNNNNNNNNNNNNNNNNNNNNNNNNNNNNNNNNNNNNNNNNNNNNNNNNNNNNNNNNNNNNNNNNNNNNNNNNNNNNNNNNNNNNNNNNNNNNNNNNNNNNNNNNNNNNNNNNNNNNNNNNNNNNNNNNNNNNNNNNNNNNNNNNNNNNNNNNNNNNNNNNNNNNNNNNNNNNNNNUAUAGGUGAAAGGAGGUGUAAAGGUCCAUAGAUAGGCAAUGUGGGACUAAACAUAUACGUAACGUGGAGAUAAAAGAAACAAAGCCUCUCAUGGGCCAGGUAAAGGUUCGGCCGGCCGCAAGAGGCGAUUCAUGCGAGCCGUGUCUUUUUUUUUAACAAUCUUUUUUUCUUUUUUUUUUAAAAAAAAGUGAAGAAAAUGUAAAAAACGGAAAUAGAGAGAACAUUUUAUAUAGGCAUAUUAUAUAUCAAAAUUUUCAGAAUAAAAUUUUCUAAAACAUGAACAUAUUUUCAAAACCAAAAAAAUAAUUUUUUUAAAAAAAAUAUUUUUUUGCAAUAACUUUAAAAUGAAAAGGAAUUUGAAUUUCAAAUAAAUUGCAAAUACUUAAAAUUUGAAUCAAGACAUAGUCUCCGAUUUUUGGAGGGUCAUUUUCCUCCUCUCGUUUUAUUUUUUUUAAUCAAAGGGUUUUGAAAAUAUUCAAACUCAAAAUUGAAAAGGGAUUCAAAAUAGAAAAUUUUGGGAAAGUCAUUUUAUUCCCUCUCAUUUUUUUGAGAAUUUUAAAAUUCCACUCAAGUUUCAAUCACUCAAACAAACAAACAAUCAAUCUAAUAAUUAUAUUAACAUUCCAAAAUUUAUAAUUUUGGGAUGUUACAAUUUCUCCGUGAGCCUACGACGGCAUCGUACCUUCUUUGCCGUCUGUCUCCUCAAAGCGGACGGCAAAGAGCUUUGUCGUCAGCUUUUCAUAGGAGCAGUCGGCAAAGUGCUCGGGACGGCAGCCGACAGGCAUUGCCUCUGUUAGGGGUUAACGGAGCCUUUGCCGUCUGCCUCCCCCACCCCACCCCCACCUCUUCUUUGCCGUCUGCCUCCCCCCUCUUCUUUGCCGUGUGCCUCCUCCUCCUNNNNNNNNNNGUCGGCCGGCCGCAAGAGGCGAUUCAUGCGAGCCGUUGAAAGGAUCGAUAUGGUUGGCUAGAGGGGGGUGAAUAGACAACGACCACUUUUUAAUUAAUCUUAACAAGUUAAGGUAAACACGAUACGGGUUCACAAAUAAUAUGACAAAGAGGUGACCCUUAUAGAAGCUACCAACAAGACCUAUUAAGACGAGUAAGAUAUAGUCACCAGUAAAAGCAAAUACAAAGUAAAGGUUAGAGAUAACCACAAGUGGAACCGAUGGAGACGAGGAUGUGUUACCGAAGUUCCUUCCCUUUGACAGGAAGUACGUCUCCGUUGGAGCGGUGUGGAGGCACAAUGCUCCCCAAAAAGCCACUAAGGCCACCGUAUUCUCCUCACGCCCUCGCACGAUGCAAGGUACCGUGAUUCCACUAUAGGUGCCCUUGAAGGCGGCGACCGAACCUUUACAAACAAGGUUGGGGCAACUCCACACAAAGCUUGGAGGCUCCCAACAAGACCACGAAGCUUCACCACAAUGGAAUAUGACUUCGAGGUGACCUCAACCGUCUAGGAUGCUCAAACACCCAAGAGUAACAAGAUCCGCAAGGGAUAGGUAGGGGAAUCAACUUUUCUCUUGGUGGAAGUGUGGAUCUAGGCCUUCUCAACCAAUCCCUAAAGAAUCAACAAGUUUGAUUGGCUAGGGAGAGAGAUCGGGCACUUUUAAGCUUGUGGAGCAACAAUGGAGCUUAGAGAGGUAAGAGAUAGGGUUCCUCAGCUAGAAGAACCCUUUAUAUAGUGGGGGCAAAAUUCAGACCGUUUUCCCACUCUCUGCCCGAGAUCCAGCGGUACUACCGCUGGGAAGGCGUGGUACUACCGCUGCCUGGCGGUACUACCGCUGGGUCUUCCAGCGGUACUACCGUUGGCACCAGCGGUACUACCGCUGGCCCCUUGGUAGUGCAUAAGCACUACUACCGCCGGGAAAGUCUUCGCAAAAGGGUCCGUCCACGAACUACCGCUAGGUAGGUGGAACAAGGCACCUGGAGCGGUACUACCGCUGACCAGGGGGCGGUACUACCGCUGGCUAGCGGUACUACCGCUGACAAUGGGCGGUACUACCGCCAGACAGCGGUACUACCGCUGGCUGCAGCGGUACUACCGCUCGGGACCAUUUUGCAGAGAGCUCAAGACGAAAAGGCGAGGGCCGCUCCAAAAGAUAAGGAAAGGGAGAAUGUAAAGUGUACGUGUGUAAAGAUAGAUUCCACCCAAACCUUUCCACUACGGAUCCCCUCUUAAUAGUACGGCUUUCCUAUGACUCAAAUAAAGAGAAUCGUAGAGAGCGCCGUGCUUCCGUUCCAGAAGAGAGGAGACGAGUCGUCUUGUGCCGUUGACGAGUGUUACCUGAAACCUUGACACACACGAUUAGUCAUGUACGGUACUGUCAUCAAUCACCAAGAUUACUUAGGCAUAAACUAUGCCUCAACAAUCUCCCCCUUUUUGGUGGAUUGAUGACAAUACCGGAUUUGCACAGAUAAUAAUAUGAGAAUAAAAAGAUAGAGAUAUAUGACAUAUGACUCACAGCAUAUGAUUGAAAUAAAUCUAAUCUCACAUAAGAAAGAUCAUGUCUCACACAAGAUAGCAAACGAAUCAAACCAAGUUCAAAGCAAACCAUACGAGAUAAAGCAAAGCAAUGCAAAGUUUGAAGUGAAAGCAAAUCCUAGACUCUCUCCCCCUUUGGCACAAGACACCAAAAAGGGGGCACACCUAAUGCCACAUGUAACUACUCCUCGUCUUCAGGAUCACCAGACUCGUCUGUCCCCUCCUGGUCGGUCUGCUCCUCCUCUGCUGCCUCAUCGCCAGACCACUGGUACCCGUGAGCCUGCAUCCAAGUGGCCUCCGGAGUGAUGUCGUCCUCGGAGCCGCUGGAGAUGUCCACAUCCAAGGUCCUGAGAACACGCUUAUGCCUCUGGCGGAUCUGCUUCUGAGCCACGUGUGUUUGAUACUGACCCUUGGCCUGCAUACAGAAAAGUGUCUUCAUCUUGUCCUGCAGUUUGAUAGCCCAAGAUGGCAUGGAAGACGAGCGGGGCUGAGAGGCAGGUCCUGUGCCAGCAGCGGUCUCUGCAGUGUCCAUGUGCUGAGAAGAUGAAGAUGGGUUGGCCCACUUGUCCUUGACGCGCAGCUUGAUUGGGUCAUGCACAAUGUAAUCAGACUGUGCGUAGAGCACCUCAUCCGGAAAUGCCUGUUGCCACUUAUGGCUGAUGUAUGCGAACAGAUAAGGCCCGUAGAUAGGAACCUUACGGUUGAUGAUGCAGUUCGAGAGCUCUGUGAACAUCACAUCUGCAAUAUCCAGUGGAGCAGACUCCUGAGACAUAGCUUCCUCACACAGUAACAGCAUCUCAGCCAAGUAGCCAUGGACCUCAUCGAAGUUACCACUCCGAGGGAAGAGGGUGUUGCGAAAGAUGCGAUGCAUGAUGUCCAGGUGCUUGGGAAGCACCCCCUUCCUCAGAUACAGUGACUGCAGUCUGUCCUUUGCGAGGGCCCUAUCAGUGGGGGCUGGAGCGUGAGGACGCAGCCCAAGAGGAGUGUGAGCACCCUGAAAGUCAAUGUGAAGGAACUGCAUGAACUCUGCCCAAGAAUCGGUCAUCUUCUUUGACCCAGUCAUCCAUAUCAUGGAGCGUUGUUCAUCAUGGGAGAAAUGGACUGUGACAUAAAACUGAGCAACUGCCGUGGGAUCAAAAUCUGUCUUGAAGGAGAUGAUGUUUUUGAUGCCCAGCUUGUCAAUCAAAGCGAGAGCAUCACCAAAGUACUCCGUGUUCCGCUGAAGAUGUGCCAGAUCAAUCCACUGGACAGAGACAAAGUUCUUCUUGAAGUUGGCAAUAACAUCCCGAUAGAUCCUGCAAUGGUCCUUUACCCAGACAUGGUCAACACCAUCAAUCUCUUCCCUCUCUUAGAGAUAGUGGUUCUUGGUGCGAAAUUGCAGAAAAUCCUUGGGGGACAUUGUACGGACAUUCACCCUCUUAUGAGCGACCUUCUUGAAGGACUUCUUCUUGGGAGGCAGGCCAGACGUGGCAGACCCCUCGGGCGCCUCUGGGUGGCAAAACUGUUUGGAUUGCGUUUCCCGUGGGGGGUUCGAACGGCGAGCAGAGCCACCUGUGACACAGACCACAAAGCAAAAAAGAGGCGACAAGAAGAGUCAAGGCAAUGAAUCUUGAAAACGCGAAACAAGUAAACACGCAUUGCUAAGCAAAACAAGCAGAAAAUACACUGUGAAUGCUCUGGCGGUAGUACCGCCACCCCUGGCGGUAGUACCGCUGGGGCCCAGCGGUAGUACCGCUAGCCCUGGCGUCAUAGCGGUAGUACCGCUACCCCUGGCGGUAGUACCGCUGGAGUCCUAGCGGUAGUACCGCUACCCGCUAGCGGUAGUACCGCUGGGGGUUUGACUUUCAGAUCUGACAAAUAAUACUUGUUUUCGAGGGCAUGGGCUGAAUAUGAACACUUAGACGUACAACCCAGCCCUACUGUCAUGAGGAACACAUAGCAUUAAGAGAUACAAACAUGCCUAGGCAAGAGAGAGCACGUUUUAGAUCUAAUCCGAAUCAAGACGAAACUCUAGGCGUUGGUUUCAUCUAAUUCGGAUAAACGANNNNNNNNNNNNNNNNNNNNNNNNNNNNNNNNNNNNNNNNNNNNNNNNNNNNNNNNNNNNNNNNNNNNNNNNNNNNNNNNNNNNNNNNNNNNNNNNNNNNCUACGUAAGAACUGCCUUAUGUGACCUUGGAGCCGGUGUUAGUGUUAUGCCGCUCUCUCUUUAUCGUAGACUUGAAUUGGAUAAGUUGACACCUACUGAAAUUUCUCUGCAAAUGGCCGACAAAUCAAUUGCUUUCCCUAUCGGCAUUUGCGAGGAUGUGCCUGUUGUGGUUGCUAACACCACUAUCUUAACAGACUUUGUUAUCUUGGAUAUUCCCGAGGACGAUGCCAUGGUUGUCAUCCUUGGAAGACCCUUUUUGAACACGGCAGGGACUGUUAUAGAUUGCAACAAAGGCAAUGUCGCUUUCCAUGUCAACGGUAAUGAGCACACAGUGCACUUUCCGAAGAAACGAUAUCAAGUACAUUCCAUCAAUGCUAUCAAAAAGACUUCAUUGAUUCUUAUUGGGAGCUUUGAAUGCCCUAUUCCUCGUGUCACGAUGAAGUAUGAUUUGCUUGUUGGGGAGAUACAUAUACCCAUUGAGGUGACUUAGUGGCUAUUUGAAAAUUCUCCGUUCUCUCUUGCGAUUCGAGAAGGUUUUGUCAUUAGGACUUGAUCAACCCCAUUGACUUCGAUGACCAUGAAAUGGAUGAAUCAAAGAGUCACAUACCUCUGUUUUGAGCUUUAAUUUUCUGUUGCUUAGAAGAAAAAUGAUAGAUUUAGUUUAGCUUUUCCUGUUUUCUGUUUUAGCGUCCUGAAGAAAAAUACCUCGAGAAUAAAAGUUCUCCGAUGGUCCUGAAAAUUUAGUAUGAUUUUUUCUGGAAUAUUUGAAAAUUACUGGGCCUGAUAGCUGGCCUGGGGGCCAGACCAGUGGGCCACAAGCCCUGCCACCGCCACCCCCCUGGUGGCNNNNNNNNNNNNNNNNNNNNNNNNNNNNNNNNNNNNNNNNNNNNNNNNNNNNNNNNNNNNNNNNNNNNNNNNNNNNNNNNNNNNNNNNNNNNNNNNNNNNUGGAGGGGCGAUGAUGUUGAUGUAGAAGCCCUCCAACUCCAAAGUCCCUUCCGGCAGGGCACCGGGAAGGGUCUCGAGAUGAGAUCUCGCGGAAACGAAGCUUGCGGCGGCGGAAAAGUAUUUUCAUGAAUCCCCUGAUUUUUUCUGUAUUUUAGGGAAUAUAUAGGCAAAGGAUCUAGGUCAGGGGGGCGCAAGGGAGGCCACAAACUUGCUUGCUCACGAAGACCUAAGGCAAUUUUGGGGAAGCCUAUCAUUGGAAUAUACAAGCCAAGUUAUAUAAUGAAAAUUUCCCACUAUCUAUAUUGGGGUGACAAAACGAGAGACUCUCAAUCAUGAAGAUCAUGGUGCUUAAUAUGCACAAGUGUGGAAAGGUGGUAGCAUUGUCCCUUCUCUCUUUUUCUCCCAUAUUUUUUUUGGUGGCUCUUUUUUUUUGGGUGGGCAUCUUUGGCCUCUUUUAUUUCCUCACAUGGGACAAUACUCCAUUAAUGAUGAUCAUCACACUUUCAACUCAAAACUUAGAGCAACGAUGACUCUAUAUGGAAUGCCUUCGGUAGUGUACCGUGAAAAUUAUCUAGCAUGGCAUAGACAUUAAUGGAAACAUCAUGCUAGCUAUCUUAUGAUCAUGCAAUGGUAAUGUAGAAGUGGUGGCACAUGUCAUGGUGGUAGUUGCAUGGAAAUAUAUCUUGGAAUUACUUUGAAAAAGCCAUAGUAGGUAGGUAUGGUGGCUGUUUUGAGGGAGGCUAAUGAUGGGUUUUGUGCAUCAGGGAAAGUUGCACGACACUAAGAAGAUAGUGAUGGUGGAAGGUGAAAGUGCAUCUAAACCAUGGACUCAACAUUAGUCAUGAAGAACUCAUAUACUUGUUGCAAAAGUUUUAUUAGUAAUCGAAAAAAGCAUUCAACGCAUACUCCUAGGGGAAGGGUUGGUAGGUAUACACCAUUGUGUGAUCCCGACCGCCACGCAAAGGAUGACAAUCAAUAGACUAAUCAUGCUCAGAUUUCAUCACAUAGCGGUUCACCAUACGUGCAUGCUACGGGAAUCACUAACUUCAACACAAGUAUUUCUAGAUUCACAACACCUUACUAACAUAACUCUUAAUAUUACCAAAUCCACGUCUCAAAACUAAUUGAGAGGAAUCAAAACUUCUCUUUCUACUCAAUGCACAUGAAGAUGGAGGUUUUUGUAUCCUCUUUGGGUAUCUAUCACCUUUGGGACUACUUUCAUAGCAUAACCCAACUACCAAAUCGCGCACCGCCGUGCUCUAAAAGAUCUAAGUGAAGCACAUAGAGCAAAAGUAUCUAGCUCAAAAGAUAUAAGUGAAGCACAAUGAGCAUUCUAGCAAAAUCACUAUGAGUGCAUGUCUCUCUCUAAAGGUGUGCAGCAACGAUGAUUUUGACACAACAAAAAUAAAAGACUCCUAAGAUACAAGACGCUCCAAGCAAAACACAUAUCAUGUGGUGAAUAAAAAUAUAGCUCCAAGUAAUGUUACCGAUGGAUUGAAGACGANNNNNNNNNNCCACAACACCUUACUAGCAUGACUUCGAUAUUACCAAAACCACAACUCAAAACUAAUUGAGAUGAAUCAAACUUCUCUAACUAUUCAAUGCACAUGAAGGUGGAAGUUUUCAUAUCCCUUUGGAUAACUACCCCUUUUGAGACUACUUUCAAAGCAUAGAUCAACUACCAAGCCACGCACCGAUGUUCUCUAAAAGAUAUAAGUGAAGCACAUAGAGAAAAAGUAUCUAGCUCAAAAGAUAUAAGUGAAGCACAUGUGAGCUGAAUUGUCUACCAAAAGAUAUAAGUGAAGCUCGACAAAAUCACGGUGAGUGCAUGUCGCUCGCUCAAGGUGUGCAGUAAGGAUGAUUGUGAUACAAAAAAAUAAAUGAAAGACUCCUACGAUACAAGACACUCCAAGCAAAAACACAUAACAUGUGGUGAAUAAAAAUAUUGCCCCAAGUAACGUUACCGAUGGAUUGAAGACGAGAGAGGGGAUGCCUUCCCGGGGCAUCCCCAAGCUUAGGCUUUUACGGCAUACUUGAAUCUCUUGGGGUGCCUUGGGAAUCCCCAAGCUUGAGCUCUUGCCACUCUUUAUCUCUUUGUCCAUAAGAACUUCACCCAAAACUUGAAAACUUCACAACACGAAACUUAAACAGAAACUCGUGAUAACAUUAGUAUGAGAAAGCAAACCACCACUUCCUUAGGUACCAUAGAAAACUUAAAUUUUACUUAUCCUGAUGUUGGGUUACUGUAUUUUCAAUCUUCCAUGGCUAAUAGCCCCCGAUACUAUCCAUAGUUUCAUCACAAUAAGCAACCAACACAACAAAAACAGAAUCUGUUAAUAGCAAACCAGUUUGUAGCAAUCUGUAUAUUUCGUAUACUUAUGGUACUUAAAAAAUUCUGAAAAAUUACGACAGUCUGAAGAAUUUGCGUUGCAAUCAGCAGCAAAAAUAAUCAACUCAAAAGCUCUUACAGAAAAAAUGGAAAUUAUUUUCAUGAGGAGAAAGUUUCUGUCUUUUCCAGCAUGACCAAACGAUCAUCCCCAAGACUAAUCAUAACGGUUUUGCUUGGCACAAACGCAAAAAGAAACACAAAAAACACAAUCAUAACAGAAUUAUGAAAGUGUGGAAAACACAAAACAGAAAGAAAAAGGAUAGAUUCGUUGGGUUGCCUCCCAACAAGCGCUUUUGUUUAACGCCCUUAGCUAGGAAAAAGGGGAUGGAAUCACGUAUAGUCGUCUUUGGUGCUCAAACCACAAGUAGUGUGAUAAUUUAUCAUCUUAAGAUCUUCAUCUUUAUUGGAUGACUCACCAGUAGCUUUAGGAACAAAAACAGACUUGACAGUCUUUUUGAGAGUGAGAUUUGGAGUAUUUUGCACAGCGGCAAAAGCGGAACCCAAGUUGGUUAUGACAUCUUCUAGUUUGCCAAUUCUAGAAGAAUCAUUAACUAUAAGUUCCUUCUCCCUUAGAUUUUUCAAAAAAAAUCCCACUUUGGAACCGUACUGAGUAAUUUGAUUGUGGAUCUUUCUAUCCAAACCCUCAAUAAGUUCAACUAUGGCAAUUUUGCUUCCAAUAGCGUCAAGCCUUUGCAUCACGUGUUCCAAGGUCAAGGUACUUCCAUUAACCAUGAGCGGGGGUGAGCCUACCAAAUUCCUGAUAGCUCCAUAGGAGUCAACAAUACGGCUCCCCAAAAAAUUCCUGCCUACAAUGGUAUCAAGGAUAUACCUAUUCCAAGGAUAUACCUAUUCCAAGAAAUCAGCAAAGACUCAAAUAUAUAUCAUAGAUAAUCUGAUCACAAAUCCACAAUUCAUCGGAUCUCGACAAACACACCGCCAAAGAGGAUUACAUCGGAUAGAUCUCCAUGAAGAUCAUGGAGAACUUUGUAUUGAAGAUCCAAGAGAGAGAAGAAGCCAUCUAGCUACUAAUUACGGACCCGUAGGUCUGAAGUGAACUACUCAUGAGUCAUUGGAGGGGCGAUGAUGUUGAUGUAGAAGCCCUCCAACUCCAAAGUCCCCUCCGGCAGGGCACCGGGAAGGGUCUCCAGAUGAGAUCUCGCGGAAACAGAAGCUUGCGGCGGCGGAAAAGUAUCUUCGUGAAUCCCCUGAUUUUUUUUCUGUAUUUUAGGGAAUAUAUAGGCGAAGGAUCUAGGUCAGGGGGACGCUAGGGAGGCCACAAGCCUGCUGGCCGCCGCCCCUGGUGGCGGAUAGGGGGCUUGUGGGCCCCCUGUAGCCCUCCUGGCUUGGCCCUCAAGCCCCCUGGUCUUCUUCCGUUCGGGAAAAAAUCAUUUCAGGGAUUUUAUUCCGUUUGGACUCCGAUCCAAAAUCCGAUUUGAAAAGAGCCAAAAACACAGAAAAAACAGGAACUGGCUCUUGGCACUGAAUUAAUAAGUUAGUGCCAAAAAAGAUAUAAAAGGUACAUAAAACAUCCAAAGAUGACAAGAUAACAACAUGAAACCAUCAAAAAUUAUAGAUACGUUUGAGACGUAUCAAGAAGGCAGCCUCAAACCCUCAAGGUUUGGCCGAAAUUGGAGGUGGAGGAGUCCUACUCCAAUCCUACUAGGAGUAGGAUUCCUCCUCUCCACUUGGAAAUCCUUUCCUCCUCUUCCACCUUUGGGUUUUUUCCUUCUCAAACCUGGUGGGCCUUCAUGGGGGCUUAGGCUAGCCCACUAGGGGCUGGCUGUCUCCUCCCACAACCCAUGAGGCCCCUCGGGGCGUGACACCCCUCCCGAUGGUCCCCAGUACCCUCCCGGCACUCCCGGUACACUACCGAUGAGACCAAAACUUUUACGGUGACCAAAACAGGACUUCCUUUAUAUUAAGCUUUACCUACGGACCAUUUCAGAGCUCCUCAUGACGUCCAGGAUCUAAUCUGGGACUCCGAACAACCUUCGAUCACCAACACCUAUAACUCAACUAUAUCGAAACGUCACUGAACCUUAAGUGUGCAGACCCUGCGUGUUGGGGAUAUUAUCUAUUGAUAACCCGCCCUAGUUGGGUCGGGUCACCUAAUCAAGCGAUUCAUCUAAGCAUGGUUCGGGCCUUGGCCUGGCAAGACCGAAGGUUGUAUGGCGGUUUACAACUUCCGGAAGGUUUCCAAGCUAUUGGAAGAUGGCGACUUAGAGAUCGUAAGAGUCAUGGUUUGUAGAAAGGAAAGUACCCUUGUGAACCCUAGGGACUCGACCUGUAUAUAAAGGCGAGUCCCAGGGAAGAAGAGGGCAUGUUAGAAAUCAUCGAGUACUAGGUCUGGUGAGUUACGCCCUCCUUGUAAUCGAAACUCCAUCAAUACAACUCAAAGCAAAACGUAGGCCUUUACCUCCUCACGAGGGGCCGAACCUGGGUAAAUCGCCGUCUCACUCCCGUUCAACCCCUUUGAGUCGCCACCAAAGUGCGAUGGCUCCAGUACUAACUCCUUUCACGAGGACAUCUGCCGUGAAAAAACCACGACACUGCGGUUCGAGAACUAUGCAGACAUGACGUGAGACACUCCCCGAUCAAGAACCCAUAGCGGAACCUGGCUGUCCAUAUUGGCUCCAACAUAUUCUAUGAAGAUCUCUAUCGGUUCAACCUCUAUGUCAAGGAUUCAGUUAAUCUCGUAUGAUGUUCCGUUUGUCCUGUGGUAUGUUACUUGCCCGAGAUUCAAUCGUCGGUAUGUCCAUACCGAGUUCAAUCACGUUAUCGGAAAGUCUCUUUACCCGUUCUAUAAUACAAGAUCUCGUGACUAACUCGUUAGUCACAUUACUUGCAAGGCUUGUUGUGAUGUUGUAUAACCGAGUGGGCCCCGAGAUAGCUCUCCGUCACAUGGAGUGACAAAUCCCAGUCUUGAUUCAUGCCAACAUUAAAGACACCUUUGGAGAUACCUGUAGAGCACCUUUAUAGUCACCCAGUUACGUUGCGACGUCUGAUACACACAAGGUAUUCCUCCAUUGUCCAGGAGUUGCAUGAUCUCAUGGUCAUAGGAAUAGAUACAUUGACAUGCAGCAAACAGUAGCAAUGAACUAACACGAUCAUAUGCUACGUUCAUAGUUUGGGUCUUGUCCAUCACAUCAUUCUCCUAAUGAUGUGAUCACGUUAUCAAGUGACAAAACUUGUCCAUGGCCAGGAAACCUUGACCAUCUUUGAUCAUUGAGCUAGUCAACUAGAGGCUCACUAGGGAUAGUGUGUUGUCUAUGUAUCCACACAUGUAUUUGAAUUUCUAAUCAAUACAAUUCUAGCAUGGAUAAUAAACAAUUGUUAUGAAAAAAGAAAUAUAACAAUAACCAGUUCAUUAUUGCCUCUAGGGCAUAUUUCCAACAGUCUCCCACUUGCACUAGAGUCAAUAAUCUAGUUCACAUCACUAUGUGAUUGUAAUGAAUCUGACACCCACACAGUUCUGGGGCUUGAUCAUGUCUUUCUUGUGAGAGAGGUUUUUAGUCAACGGGUCUGAACCUUUCAUAUCCGUGUGUGCUUUACAAAUCUCUAUGUGAUCCUAUAGAUGCUACUACCACGUGCCAUUUGGAACUAUUCCAAAUGACUGCUCCACUAUACGAAUCUGGUUUACUACUCAUAAUUAUUCGGAUUAGUGUCAAAGCUCGCAUCGACGUAACCCUUGACGACGAACUUUUUAAUCACCUCCAAAAUCAACAAAAAUUCCUUAGUCCACUAGUUACUAAGGAUAACUUUGACCGAUCUUCAGUGAUUCGAUCAUGAAUCACUCUUUGUACCCCUUGAUAGACUCAUGGCAAGGCACACAUUAGGUGCGGUACACAACAUGUCAUACUUUAGAGCCUACGACUAAGGCAUAGGGGACGACCUUUGUCCUUUCUCUUUCUUCUACCGUGGUCGUGCUUUGAGUCUUAAUCAAAUUCACACCUUACAACAAAGCCAAGAACUCCUUUUCUUAUCUAUUUUUAACUCCUUCAAAAACUUGUCAAGGCAUGCAUUUCAUUGAAAGUUUUAUUAAGAUUUUUGAUCUAUCUCUAUAGAUCCUGAUGCUCAAUGUUCAAGUAGCUCUAUCCAGGUUUUCCUUUGAAAAACUCCUUUCAAACAACCCUUUAUGCUUUCCAAAAAUUCUACAUUACUGCCAAUCAACAAUAUGUCAACCACAUAUACUUAUCAAAAAAUUUAUAGUGCUCCCACUCACUUCUUUGGAAAUACAAGUUUAUCAUAAACCUUGUAUAAACCCAAAAGCUUUCAUCAUCUCAUCAAAGCGUAUAUUCAAACUCCGAGAUGCUUGCACCAGUCCAUAGAAGGAUCGCUGGAGCUUGCAUACUUGUUAGCAUCCUUAGGAUCGACAAAACCUUCUAGUUCUAUCACAUACAACCUUUCCUCAAGGAAACAGUCGAGAAAACAAUGUUUUGACAUCCUAUCUGCAAUAUUUCAUAAAUAAUGUAUCAACUGCUAACAUUAUUCCAACAGACUUUUAGCAUCGCUACGAGUGAUAUAGUCUCAUCAUAGCCAAUUCUGAACUUGUCGGAAACAUCUUUGCGACUAGUCGAGCUUUCUUAAUGGUGACUUUACACCAUCAUCGUUUGUCUUCCUUUUGAAGAUACACAUGUACUUAAUAGUCUUACGACCAUCAAGUAGUUCUUCCAAAAUCCACACUCUGUAUUCAUAAGUGGAUCCUCUCUCAGAUUUCAUGGCCUCUGAUACGUCUCCAUCGUAUCUACUUUUCCAAACUCUUUUGCCAUUGUUUUGGACUCUAAUUUGCAUGAUUUGAAUGGAACUAACCAGGAUUGACGUUGUUUUCAGCAGAAUUGCCUUGGUGUUAUUUUUGUGCAGAAAUCAAAGUUCUCAGAACGUCCUGAAAAUUUACGGAGAUUAUUUUUGGAAAAUAUGAAAAAUACCUACGCAAAGAUCCACCUGAGGGGGGUGGGCCAGUGGGCCACAAGCCCUGCCACCGCCACCCCCCUGGUGGCGCAUGGCAAGCUUGUGGGGCCCACGUGGCUCUUCCGCCCCCAAUCUCAGCUCUAUAAGUUCACUUUCGUCCCAGAAAAAAUCAAGAGAGAAGAAUUCGUCGCGUUUGUGAUAUGGAGGCGCCACCACAACCUGUUCUUCAUCUGGAGGGCAGAUCUGGAGUCCGUAUUGGGCUUCGGAGAGGGGAAAUCGUCGCCAUCGUCAUCAUCAACCUUCUUCCCUCUCCAAUUGCAUGAAGCUCUUCGUCGUUCGUGAGUAAUCUAUUCGUAGGCUCGCUGGGCGGUGAUGAGUAGGAUGAGAUCUAUCAUGUAAUCGAGUUAGUUUUGAUGGGGAUUGAUCCCUAGUAUCCACUAUGUUCUGAGAUUGAUGUUGCUACUACUUUGCCAUGCUUAAUGCUUGUCACUAGGGCUCGAGUGCCAUGAUUUCAGAUCUGAAAUUAUUAUGUUGUCACCAAUAUAUGUGUGUUUUAGAUCCGAUCUUGCAAGUUGUAGUUACCUACUAUGUGUUAUGAUCUGGCAACCACGGAGUGACAAUGACGGGAACCACUCCCGGUGAUGACCAUAGUUUGAGGAGUUCAUGUGUUCACCAAGUGCUAAUGCGUUGGUCUGGUUCUUUAUUAAAAGGAGAACCUUAAUAUCCCGUAGUUUCCUUUUGGAUCCCGCUGCCACGGGAGGGAUGGACAAUAGAUGUCAUGCAAGUUAUUUUCCCUAAGCACGUAUAACGACACACAGAAUGCAUGCCUACAUCACAUUGACGAACGGGAGCUAGCCACAUAUCUCUCCGUGUUAUAACUGUUGCAUGAUGAAUAUCAUCCAAACAAAUCACCGACCCAUUGCCUACGAGUUUGUCCUACUGCUGCUGUUACUUGUCUUGCUCUGCUGCACUUACUUGUCUUGCUCUGCUGCUGUUACUUGUCUUGCUUUGCUGCUACUGCUGCUACUACUGUCUCUUGCUACUGUUGCUACUUGCUACUGCUGUCACUACUAUUGUUCCUUGCCACUGCUAUUAUUCGUUACACUGCUGCUACCUGCUACAAUCCUGAUUCGCUGGUCGUUGACGGGAACAGACAACUUCCCUCAACUCGGCAACUUGCCGCCAUUGAUACAAUCGUUAGGAAUAGUCUGCCGUCAACAUAUCGUUUCUAACACCGUUGUUAUCAUACUACUUAGUUGUUACUACUUUUCUUGCAGAUACUAAUCUUUCAGGUGUGGUUGAAUCUGACACAUUCAGCUGCUAAUACUUGAGAGUAUCCUCUCACCUCGUAUAGGCGUACCAACAAAUUUGGGUUGAAUACUCUACCCUCGAAAACUGAUGCGAUCCCACGCGCUGGUGGGCUGUGAACAACAUUCUUCUAGUUUCGAUUGCCAGAGAGUGCUAGCAGCAUUCUUCUGAUGCCGUUGCAGGGGAAGUUCUGUUGUCACGGAAUCAGCAUUUUUUUGGCGCCGUUGCCGGGGAUGUAUUGCUAUAUUCUCUCAGUUACUUGGGAUUUAUAUCUGCAGAUCACUAUGAAGAAUCCGAAGGAUCCAAAAACCAAAGUCUUGCCCUCAACUAUGAGGGGAGGUAAGGAACUGCCAUCUAGCUCUGCACUUGAUUCACCUUCAGUUAUGAGUAAGUUUGCGACAUCACCUCCUGCUAGAAAUCUUGAUAUGUCGCCCGUGCUUGAUGAUGCUUAUGAUGCUACAGCUAGAGAUGCUAUGCUUGAUACUAUGCCUGAUGAUACUAUGCUUGAUACUAUGCCUGAUACUACUAGAGAUGCCAUGCCUGAUGAUGCUAGAGAUGCUAUGCUUGAUACUAUGCCUGAUGCUAUGCCUGAUACUACUAGAGAUGCUUUGCCAGAUGAUGCUAGAGAUGCUAUUUUGCCUGAUGAUGCUAUGCUUGAUAUUGCUAGAUAUGCUACUUUGCCUGGUAAGCCACUAGGGGUAUUCCUUGAUGCUCAUAUUGCUAGAGUUACUGCCAAUGCUCGUGAUGGUUCUGAAACUGCCGAUACUAUUGAGAUAGAAACUGCUUUUGCUCCUGCUAAAUCUAGCUCUCCUAGAUAUGAAUUGCCUGAUAUACCUGAGGGUUACAUUAUGGAGGGAGAGAUAGCUGAGGAUUUUCUUGCGUGUAAGGAUGCCUAUGACGCUGAGAAAUUACUUCUCAAGUGGAAGGAAAAAUCUCUGAAAGCUGGGAUGAAAUACGACCCGAAGUUUGCCACUUCACCUAUCUUUAUCACCGAUAAGGAUUAUGAAUUCUUUGUCGAUACUGAGAUAAUAUCUCUAGUUGAAUAUGAUCCUUUUCAUGGUUAUGAGUCUGAGACGGUCGUAUCCCAUCUUGCCAAACAACACGAUAUAGACAACCUUUUCACUAAUGAGGAGAAGAUCCGCCACUACUAUAUCCUUAAGUUGUUUCCUUUCUCUCUAAAGGAUGACGCUAAAGCUUGGUUCACCUCGCUUGAUCCAGGAUGUGUGAGUAGUCCUGAGGAUAUGGUCUAUUACUUCUAUGAGAAAUAUUUCCCUGCCCAUAAGAAGCAAGCUGCCCUGCAGGAAAUAUACAACUUUGCUCAACUCCAAGAAGAGAGUCUCCCACAAGCUUGGGGGAGUCUCGUCGAGCUACAAAAUGCUUUGCCUAAUCACCCUCUUAAGAAGAACGAGAUACUUGAUAUCCUCUAUAACGGACUUACUGAUGCCUCUAGAGACCACCUAGAUAGUUGUGACGGUUGUAUUUUUAGGGAACGAACUGUAGAACAAGUUGAGACCCUACUGAAUAACAUCUUGAUCAACGAUAAAUGCUUGGACUAUUCCCGAACCACCUCCUAAGCCAACUUCGAAGAAAAGAGGUAUUCUAUUCCUCAGUCCUGAAGAUAUGCAAGAAGCCAAGAAAUCUAUGCAAGAGAAAGGCAUUAAAUCUGAAGAUGUUAAAAAUCUACCACCUAUCGAAGAGAUCCAUGGUCUCGAUAACUCGAUACAGGUAGUAGAAGUGAAUUCUCUACGUAGGUUUGAUGAGAGUGAUAUUCCUUUUGACAAACCUGCUAGCCUAUGAUUUGAUGAAUUUGACAACUUUGUUGCCAAACAAUAGAGUUUCAAUGAUUAUGUUAGCAGGCAUUUGGAACAAAGUACUCGUAUGCUUAGCCAUUUCAGUGCUUGUGUAGACAGAAAUGUCAAUGAUCUGAAGCUUCUGAGUAAACAUGCCUCUAUGAUUACUACUCAGGUAGAACAAGUACUUAAAGCUCAGAAUGACCUUCUCAAUGAAUUAAAUGACAACUCUAUCAGAGUCAUCACUAGAGGAGGCAAAAUGACUCAGGAACCUUUGUAUCCUGAAGGUCAUCCUAAGAGAAUUGAUCAAGAUUCUCAAGGAAUCAAUGCUGAUACACGCAGUCAUCCUAAGGAGAAGAAGAAGGAUGAUAGAAACCUACAUGCCAGUUCACCAAAUACUGUCACACCAGAAGAACCUAAUGAUAUUUCUGCGUUUGAUGCAGAAACACAAUCUGGUGAUGAACAUGAACCUGGUGACAAUAUGGACAGUGAUGUUCAUAAUAAUGCUCAACCUAGCAAUGAUGAGGAUGUGGAGAUUGAACCUACGGUAAAUCCUGAAAACCCACAACCCAAGAAAUACGAUAUGAAUGACUUCACUGCUAGGAAGCAUGGUAAAGAAAGGGAGCCAUGGGUUCAGAGAUCUAUGCCCUUUCCUCCUAAGCCAUCUAAGAAAAAGGAUGAUGGGGAUUUUGAGGGCUUCAUUGAGAUGAUAAGACCCAUCUUUCUGCAGAUGCGGUUAACUGAUAUGCUCAAGAUGUCUCCGUAUGCCAAGUACAUGAAAGAUAUCAUGACUAAUAAACGGAAGAUACCAGAUCUUGAGAUCUCCACCAUGCUUGCCAACUACACUUUCAAAGGUGGAACUCCUAAGAAACUUGGUGACCCCGGAGUGCCCACUAUACCUUGCUCCAUUAAAGGAAACUACGUAAGAACUGCCUUAUGUGACCUUGGAGCCGGUGUUAGNNNNNNNNNNNNNNNNNNNNNNNNNNNNNNNNNNNNNNNNNNNNNNNNNNNNNNNNNNNNNNNNNNNNNNNNNNNNNNNNNNNNNNNNNNNNNNNNNNNNAAUAUUCAUGAGCUAACCAAGGUUCUUAUGCCAUUUUGAGGUUAUUAUAGCAUUUUGGAGCUAAUUGGGCUAAUUAUGUCAUUGUUGGGUAAAUUAUAGCAAGGAUAAUAUGAAAGAGGAGAACAAAGAGGGGGGAGGAGAAGAAGAAGAAAUCAAGAAGGAGGAGAAGGAGGAGGAGGAGAAGGACUAGAAGGUCCUUGGCCUUCUCCUCAUUCUCCUUCUUCUCUUCUUCUUCUUCUUCUUCUUCUUCUUCUUCUUUCUUUUCAUUUUUCCUAUUUCUUCUCCUCUUCUCCUCUUGUUGGAGCUAAAUUACCUAAUUAUGUCUUUUUGGAUCUAAAUACGCUAAUUAUCCCAUUUUAGAGGAAACCAAGCUAAGUAUAUAAUAUUCAUGAGCUAACCAAGGUUAUUAUGCCAUNNNNNNNNNNUCUCUUCUUCUUCUUCUUGUUCGUUCUUUUCAUUUUUCAUAUUCCUUCUCCUCUUAUCCUGUUGUUGGAGCUAAAUUACCUAAUUAUGUCUUUUUGGAUCUAAAUGGGCUAAUUAUCCCAUUUUAGAGGAAAACAAGCUAAGUAUAUAAUAUUCAUGAGCUAACCAAGGUUCUUAUGCCAUUUUGAGGUUAUUAUGACAUUUUGGAGCUAAAUGGGCUAAUUAUGUCAUUGUUGGGGAAAUUAGAGCAAGGAUAAUAUUAAAUAGGAGAAGAAAGAGGAGGAGAAGGAGAAGAAGAAGAAAUCAAGAACGAGCAGGAGAAGGAGGAGGAGGAGAAGGACUAGAAGGUCCUUGGCCUUCUCCUCCUCCUCCUUCUUCUUCUUCUCUUCUUCUUCUUUCUUUUCAUUUUUCCUAUUUCUUCUCCUCGUAUCCNNNNNNNNNNNNNNNNNNNNNNNNNNNNNNNNNNNNNNNNNNNNNNNNNNNNNNNNNNNNNNNNNNNNNNNNNNNNNNNNNNNNNNNNNNNNNNNNNNNNCCUCCACCACCCCUCCCGCCGGCGACCCCACCCCACCAGAACUCCACCACCUCGGCCACCAUUGCAGCACGGGAGCCCCAGCCACGGUAAGGCCCUCCCUCCUUUUUUUUACUUGUUUUGUUUUUUUAGCCCUUAGAUCUAUUUCCAACGGUAUAGAUUACAUAGGUACUUACCCCUUCGAUCUUUUAGAUAAAACCGAUCGGUUUUACUUUCACUUAAGUUUAGCCGAAGUGAAUUAGUUAAAUAGCGGCCGUUUGUUAGUUAUCCCCGCAGCACUCACCCCCUUAGCCAAUUAGAAAAUGCCACGUGGACCCCUGUCCACAAAUCAGUUUUUUCCCUUUUUUUGUUUUAGUUCCAAAAACAGCAAAGUUCCUGUUUUGUUUUGGCCAUAACUUUUGAUCCCGAAGUCCAAUGAUAGUGAUUCUUUUUCCAGAAGCUCACAAAUUGCCUGUAGUUUUCAAAAAUAUAUAAUUUGUCUAUGUUUGAAAUUUUCAAAUAUAAGUUAGAUCAGAUUUAGUUUAAACCUUGUUUUGCUUAUUCCAGGAGUUUAAAAAUAGCUUUUAAUUUGAUUCCUUUUGGUACUGAUCACUAGUGAUCUUAUUUAUCAGUGGUAAGAAUUUCAGAUUUGUUUGAGUACUUUCGCUCACUGUUUAUUGCGAAACAAUUUAUGUUUCACCUCUUUUAGGAUUUCGGCUAAUUCCUUUUCUACUUUUGUUUUAAAAUAUUUUCUUUAUUAUUUCAGAAAUAUUAUGUUUUGUUAGUUAAACAGUAGUUUUGCAACAAGUUUUUAUUUUAUAUUUAUUUGUUUUCAUGAAAUCAAUUCUAGUUCAUUGGUAACUUGCAAUUGGUUUCCCCGUGUUUCAAAUCCCGUUUGGGAAUACUUUCAAAACGUUUUGUGAAAAAUACUUUAUUUUAUAUUAGUUAAACUUAUAUCUUAGUUCCUUGUUAUUGUUUUAUGUUAGAGAAAAACUAUUUAGUGUUUGACAUAGUACAAGACUCCCUAGUCUUAUUUGAAGUUUCCUUCGGAUUCCUAUUCGCUCUCUCUUUUGUUUUGAUUGCUAGUAUGAGUGCUUAUGUGAAUGAUAUGUUUGUUAUAUAGAUUUCAUCGGAGAGUGAGAGUAGUCUAUCAAGUUAUUUUCUCGAGAAAUUCUUCUUCGUCAACAUCACCAGGCAAGUCACUUUGAUCAUACUAUCACCUAUGUUUUUAUGCAUCGUAGUUCUACCAUCCUAUGCCCAAAUUGCAUGCUGCUUAGGUACUUGGAAAUUUUAGUAUAGAUUGUAGUAUCAUGUGGUAGGCACACAAAAACCCCGAUACUUGGCCCCGGGACGACAAAUUUCAUAUUGCUAUGCUUGAGUAGAUGGGAAUUCGGUUGAGUGCAUAACACGAGUGAUGCGAGGUUGACUAAAUAAUCAAGACCGGUUAAGACAAGAUUUUCAAGACCUCGGACGCAAUGCAACUCUGGGUGAAGGACGGUUGAUCGGCUCCCUGGAGAACCCAGUGGAUGACCCGGGAUGCUGGAGAGGCCAUGGCAUCCUGCGGAAAGCUUCACCCAGGCUCAAAGAGAUGAACGGAUAUUUUCAAGACCCAAGGCUUACCUGCACAGCCACAAGUCAUUAUGGGCUCUGGCUUGGUUGGACAACACGGCGACUCUGGACAGGCGGUGCUAGCAGAUGUAGAAGAACGGUAGGAUUGGAUGGGCACCGACAGGGAUUCAGAGCGACCCGUUGAAAGACCAUGUUUUGAUCAUCCAGUCUUCAAACACCCAGAAGUGCGAGGACAUACUCGGAGGCGAUCAAAUUUUGUGGGGAACGUGUGCAAAACUCUGCACGGUACUCAAACCUAAUCGAUUAGCCGUGUCCACAGUCAUGGACAACUUGAGCCAAAGAAACUGAAGUUAUCUGGAUUUCUCAACACCAUUAUAUAUAUUUGAUGAGGGUAAUUAUUGACAACUCGGGUACGAGAACUGGUUGGCGGAACCAUCUCGUUAACAACCAACUUUUGUAGUAAUAUUUUGCUUUUAGCCCCUCUUGUUGUAGGAUAAAAUUGGCUUUAUGCAAAACUUAUAGCCCCACCUGCCAAAUAUGCAUGUAGAGAUAGAUGAUAUUUUACCCCUCUCAUAUGUGACUUGCCGGCAUAUUCAAUAUGCUGACCUACACGACUGCAACGUCUUAUGUUGCAGAUAUUUUCUUCGACGAGUAAGAGUACGAUUCAGGGUUACGGUCUACACUCAACUUGCCGUUUGUGUUUAUUGGGACUCCACUCCCUUGACUGCUUUCGCUGAGAUAUUUAAGGUAUAUAUCGGUUUUACGCUAUUUACAUGUGAUUGCACUUUGAUAUGUACAUUGAUGUACUGUGUGUGCCAGCAUACUAAUCCAGGGAUGGCACAGAUACACAGAGGCUUGACUCGUCUUGAGUCGGGUCGCUACAAUCACAAAGCUCAAUGAAGGUAUUGAGAUGGGAUGCGGCAUCUUCACUAGGAAGGCCAGAGAAUUGCUCUUUCAUAACAAGAUUCAGCAAAGCUGCGUUGAUUUCAUACGAUUCCGCACUAGUGGCGGGAGCAAUCGAAGUACUAAUAUAAUCAUUAUUAUUAGUGCUCGAGAAGUCGCAAAGUUUGGUGUUUUCAGCCAUGAUGACUUCAACAAAAAAACAAGCACACAAGCAAGCGAGAAAACCAGCAAAGGGAAAUGGCAAAGGCAAAAUAAAACGGCGAAGGAGAAAGGCAAAUGGAAACGACAAAUGUGAAGUGGGGGAGAGGAAAACGAGAGGCAACUGGCAACAAAAGUAAAUGCAAGAGAUGAGUUUGUGAGACCUACUUGGAUAGAUCUUGAUUUCUCCUCCACGGCAACGGCGCCAGAAAUACUUCUGCUACUGCAACAAAAGACCUUCCAAUGGCGCCAGAAAUAGGCACGUUGACGGGAGAAUACUUGACUUGAUCCUUCUGCUGAGGCUAUGCCUUAAGGGACUUCCUAGGCAAGUAUGCAAAGGAUUUCCCCCAUGGCCUUGGAGCCUUGCCUUGGUGUUCCCUCGAAGCGGAAAGGGUGAUGUAGCGUAGCGGUGGUAAGUAUUUCCCUCAGUUUGAGAACCAAGGUAUCGAACCAGUGGAGGAGUAUCACAAGAGCCUGUACAAACACAAAAAGCUUGCUCCCAACGCUAUAAGGGGUUGUCAAUCCCUUAUAGAUUGUUUGCCAAGUGAUAACUGAAAGCAACAAAGUAACAAAGCAAAGUAAAAGCGAAAGUGGAAACGAUAGGUGUGAAUAGACCCGGGGGCCGUAGUGUUUACUAGUGGCUUCUCUCAUGAAAGCAAGUAGACGGUGGGUGAACAAAUUACUGUCGAGUAAUUGAUAGAACCGCGAAAGUCAGGACGAUAUCUAUGGCAAUGAUUAUAUCUAUAGGCAUCACGUCCAAAACAAGUAGAUCGAUACUUUCUGCAUCUACUACUAUUACUCCACACGUCGACCGCUAUCCAGCAUGCAUCUAGUGUAUUAAGUCCAUAAGAACAGAGUAACGCCUUAUGCAAGAUGCCAUGAUGUAGAGGGAUAAUCUCAAACCAAUGACGAAAACGUCAUCUUUUUACCCUUGAUGGCAACUACUUAAUGUGUGCCUUGCUGCCCCUACUGUCACUGGGAAAGGUCACCACAUGGUAGAACCCAAAACCAAACACUUCUCCCAUUGCAAGAAUCAUAGAUCUAGUUGGCCAAAAAAAACCCAAGACUCGGAGAAACUUACAAGGAUAUCAAAUCAUGCAUAUGAGAAAUUAGCAAAGACUCAAAUAUAUAUCAUAGAUAAUCUGAUCACAAAUCCACAAUUCAUCGGAUCUCGAGAAACACACCGCCAAAGAAGAUUACAUCGGAUAGAUCUCCAUGAAGAUCAUGGAGAACAUUGUAUUGAAUAUCCAAGAGAAAGAAGAAGCCAUCUAGCUACUAACUACGGACCCGUAGGUCUGAAGUGAACUACUCACGAGUCAUUAGAGGGGCGAUGAUGAUGAUGAAGAAGCCCUCCAACUCCAAAGUCCCCUCCGGCAGGGUGCCGGGAAGGGUCUCCAGAUGAGAUCUCGUGGAAACGGAAGCUUGCGGCGGCGGAAAAGUGUUUUCGAGGCUCCCCUGAUUUUUUGCUGAAUUUUUGGGAAUAUAUAGGCCAAGGAUCUUGGUCAGGGGGCGGCCAGGGAUGCCACAAGCCUUGACACCGCCGCCUCCCCCUGGUGGCGGAGUGGGAGCUUGUGGGCUCCCUGGAGCCCACCUGGCUUGGCCCAGAGGCCCCCUGAUCUUCUUCCGUUCGGGAAAAAAUCAUUUCAGGGUUUUUAUUCCGUUUGGACUCCGUUCCAAAAACAGAUCUGAAAGGAGUCAAAAACACACAAAAAACAGGAAGUGGCACUUGGCAGUGAAUUAAUAAGUUAGUCCCAAAAAAGAUAUAAAAGGUACAUAAAACAUACAAAGAUGACAAGAUAACAGCGUGAAACCAUCAAAAAUUAUAGAUACGUUUGAGACGUAUCAUCGUCCGUUUGGCAAUAAAUCGGGAUGGAUCGCGAUGACAUCGCGGGACGGUUCGUGAUGAGAUCGUGGUGUGGACUGAGCAUUGGAUUGCGAAGAUGUUCGACUACAUCAAACACGUUAUAUACACUUCCGCUUAGCGAUCUACAAGGGUAUGUAGAUGCACUCUUCGCUCUCAUGGAUGAUCAUCACCAUGGAUAGGUCUUGCGUGUGCGUAGGAAAUUUUUUGUUUCCCAAGCAACGUUCCCAAACAGUGGCAUCAUGAGCUAGGUUCAUGCGUAGAUGAUAUCUCGAGUAAAACACAAAAGUGUUUGUGGGCGCUGAUGUUCAAUUUGCUGCCCUUCUUAGUAUUUCUUGGUUCGGCGGUAUUGUUGGAUUGAAGCGGCCCGGACCUACAUUACUCGUACGCUUACGAGAGACCGAUUUCAUCGACUAACUUGCAACUUCUUGCAUAAAGAUGACUGGUGGGUGCCUGUUUCUUCAACUUUAGCUGAAUCGGAUUUGACGGAGGCAGUCCUUGGAGAAGGUCAAAUAGCAAUUUGCAUAUCACCGUUGUGGCUUUGUGUAAGUAAGAUGCGAUCAUACUAGAUACCAUAGCGGCCACCUAAAAUUUGCAACACCAAAUUAGGGAUUCCUAACUUGUUUUUGCAGGGUAUGCAUGUGAUGUGAUAUGGCCAAAGACAUGAUAUGAUAUAUCGGAUGUAUGAGAUGAUCAUGUUGUAAUAGUUAAAUAUCGACUUGCGUGUCAGUGCUACGGCAACCGGCAGGAGCCAUAGGGUUGUCUUUAAUUAUUUUUGUGCUUGGUGAUGCUUUGCUUUAUCGCUAGUAGUAGCUUUAGUAAUAACAUCAUAGUUAGCGCAACAACCUCGAUGGCAGCACAAUGAUGGAUAUCAUGAUGAUGGAGAUCAUGGUGUGGUGCCGGUGACUAUGGAGAUCAUACCGGUGCUUUGGUGAUGGAGAUCAAGAAGCACAAGUUCAUGGCCAUAUCAUGUCACUUAUGAUUUGCAUGUUAUGUUAAUCCUUUUAUGCACCUUAUUCUGCUUAGGACGAUGGUAGCAUUGUAAGAUGAUCCCUCACUAAAAUUUCAAGAUAAAAUUGUGUUCUCCCCGACUGUGCACCGUGGCCACAGUUCGUCAUUUCGAGACACCACGUGAUGAUCGAGUGUGAUAGACCCUACGUUCACAUACAACGGGUGCAAUACAUUUGGACACACGGAACACUCAGGUUAAACUUGACGAGCCUAGCAUGUACAUACAUGGCCUCCGAACACACCAGACCAAAAGGUCGAGCAUGAGUCAUAUAGUGGAUAUGAUCAAAAUGGAUAUGUUCACCAUUGAAGCUAAACUCAACUCACAUGAUGAUCGGACUUGAGUUAGUGAAUUUGGAUCAUGUACCACUCGACUAACCAGAGGGAUGUCAAUUUGAGUAAGAGUUCUUAAGUAAUAUGAUUAAUUGAACUCAUUAUCAUGAACAUAGUCAAAAUGUCUUUGCAAAUUAUGUUGUAGCUUUCGAUGUAGCUCUACUGUUUUUGAUAUGUUCCUAGAGAAAACAUAGUUGAAAGAUAAUAGUAGCAAUUAUGCAGACUGGCUCCGUAAACUGAGGAUUGUCCUCAUUGUUGCGCAGAAGGCUAAUGUCCUUAAUGCACCGCUCGGUGUGCUGAACCCCGAGCGUCGUCUGUGGAUGUUGCGAACAUCUGACAUACACGUUUUUGAUGACUACGUGAUAGUUCAGUGAGUAAUGCUUAACAGCUUAGAAUUGAGGCGUCGAAGAUGUUUUGAACGUCACGGAACAUAUGAGAUGUUCCAAGAGAUGAAAUUGGGAUUUCAGGCUCGUGCCCGUGUUGAGAUGUAUAAGACCUCCGACAAUAUUCUUUGUCUACAAAGUAAGGGAGAAAAGCUCAAUCGUUCAGCAUGUGCUCAGAUUGUCUGGGUACUACAAUCGCUUGAAUCAAGUGGGAGUUGAUCUUCCAUAUAAGAUAGUGAUUGACAUAGUUCUCCAAAGUCACUGCCACCAAGCUACAGAGCUUCGUGAUGAGCUAUAACAUAUCAGGGAUAGAGAUGACGAUCCUUGAGUUAUUCGUGAUGUUUGACACCGAGAAAGUAGAAAUCAAGUUGGGGCAUCAAUUGUUGAUGAUUAGUAAAACAACUAGUCUCAAGAAGGGCAAGGGAAAGAAGGGAUACUUGAUGACUAGAAAACCUGUUGUCGCUCUAGUGAAGAAACCCAAGGUUAAACCCAAACCCGAGACUAAGUGCUUCUUCAUAUAAUAGGGGAACGGUCACUGAAGCAGAACUGCCCUAGUUACUUGGUAGAUGAGAAGGCUGGCAAAGUCGACAAAAGUAUAUUGGAUAUACAUGAUAUUGAUGUGUACUUUACUAUUACUCCUAGUAGCACCGGGGUAUUACAUACCGGUUCGAUUACUAAGUGUUAGUAACUCGAAAUAAAAGCUGCAGAAUAAGUGGAGACUAGCUAAAAGCGAGGUGACGAUGUGUGUUGGAAGUAUUUCCAAGGUUGAUGUCAUCACUAUCGUACACUCUCUCUACUUUCAAAAUUAAUGUUGAACCUAAAUGUUGCUUGGUGUCUGCGUUGAGAAUAAACAUGAUCGGAUCGUGUUAAUUGCAAUACGAUUAUUCAUUUAAAAAGAAUAAUGGUUAAUAUGUUUACUUGAAUAACACCUUCAAUGGUCUUCUGCCUAAAAUGAAAGGUUUAUUGAAUCUCGAUCGUAGUGAUAGACAUGUUCAUAAUUUUGUUGCCAAAAGAUACAAAGUAGUAAUGAUAGUACCACUUACUUGUGGCACUGCCGCUUGAGUCAUAUUGGGAUAAAAUGCAUGAAGAAGCUCCACGCUGAUGGAUCUUUGGACUCACUCGUUUUUGAAUCAUUUGAGACAUGCAAACUAUCCCUGUUGGUAUAAAUGCAUGAAGAAACUCCAUGGAGAUGGAUUGUUUAGACUCACUUGAUUUCGAAUCACUUGAGACAUGUAAAUCAUGCCAUGUGGGAAAAAUGACUGAAGGCCUCGUUUUCAGUGAGAUGGAGCGAGCAAGUGACUUGUUGGAAAUAAUACAUUUUCAUGUAUGCAGACCAAUGAGUUCUGAGGCAUAUAGUGGAUAUCGUUAUGUUCUUACUUCACUUAUGAUUUGAGUAGAUACAGGUGUAUUUUCUUGAUGAAUCACAUAGUCUGAUAUAUUGAAAAGUUCAAGCAAUUUCAGAGUGAAGUUGAAGAUCAUCGUAACAAGAGGAUAAUAUGUCUACUAUGUGAUCGUAGAGGUAAAUAUAUAUCUGAGUUACGAGUUUGGUAAACAUUUAAGACAAUGUGAAAAUUGUUUCACAACUCAUGCCACCUAGAACACCAUAGUGUGAUGGUGCGUCCGAAUGUCAUAGCCGCCCCCUAUUGGAUAUGGUGCAUAUUAUGAUGUCUCUUAUCUAAUUUCCACUAUCGUUUUUGGGUUAGGCAUUAGAGACAGUCGCAUUCACUUUAAAUAGGGCACCACAUAAUUCCGUUGAGAUGACACCGUAUGAACUAUGGUUUGGAGAAACCUAAGCUAUCGUUUCAUAAAAGUUUGGGGCUGCGACUCUUAUGUGAAAAAGUUUUAGCCUAAUAAGCUUGAACCCAAAGUGGAUAAAUGCAUCUUCAUAGGUCACUCAAAUCAGUUGGGUAUACCUCCUAUCUCAUAUCUGAAAGCAAAGUGUUUGUUUCUAGAAAUGGGUCCUUUCUCGAGAAAAAGUUUCUCUCGACAGAAUUGAGUGGGAGGAUGGUGGAAACUUGAUAAGGUUAUUGAACCGUCACUUCAAUAAGUAGCAGGGCGUAGGAAGAUGUUCCUGUGGCGCCUACACUAGUUGAAGUGGAAAGCUGAUGAUGGUGAUCAUGAAGCUUCAGAUCAAGUUACUGUUGUCGUGGGUAUAAGUCUGACAGUAGAUGUACAGGGUACAGAAGGAUGGGCAGAGCCUUAGCUACGGCGAGGUUGUAUGAGUUCAGGCNNNNNNNNNNNNNNNNNNNNNNNNNNNNNNNNNNNNNNNNNNNNNNNNNNNNNNNNNNNNNNNNNNNNNNNNNNNNNNNNNNNNNNNNNNNNNNNNNNNNGUGUGGAGUAAUAGUAGUAGAUGCAGAAAGUAUCGGUCUACUUGUCUCGGACGUGAUGCCUAUAUGUAUGAUCAUUGCCUUAGACAUCGUCAUGACUUUGCACGGUUCUAUUAAUUGCUCGACAGUAAUUUGUUCACCCACCGUAAUAUUUUCUAUUUUGAGAGAAGCCUCCAGUGAACACUAUGGCCCCCGGGUCUACUCCACUCCAUAUUUUCAGCCUUACACUUUUUCUUCGUUGCACUUUCCGCCUUCAGAUCUCACUUUGCAAUCAAUCUUGAAGGGAUUGACGACCCCUUUAUAGCGUUGGGUGCAAGCUCUUUGUGUUUGUGCAGGUACUCUGGACUUGACGAGAUUCUCCUACUGGAUUGAUUCCUUGGUUCUCAAACUGGGGGAAAUACUUACUGCUCCUGUGCUGCAUCACACUUUCCUCUUCAAGGGAAAAACCGACGCAAGCAAGAGAAGUUGGAAGAAGAAUUCCUGGCGUUGCCGGGGAAGGCCUUUUGUUGCCAGAGCAGAAGAAUUUCUGGCGCCGUUGCCAGGGAGGAUCAAGUCAAGAACUGAUCCAAGUAAGUCUCACAAACUCAACUCUUGCAUUUACUUUGUUUGCCAGUUGCCUCUCAUUUUCCUCUCCCCCACUUCACAAUUUGCCUUUUUCGUUUGCCUUUUUUCAUUUGCCUUUUUCGUUCGCCCUUUUCUCUCACUUGCUUUCUGUUCGCUUGUGUGCCAUGUGCCUACAAUAUGCUUGCAUCUUCGCUUGCUGAAAAUCUAAUGAUAUGGAUCCUCAUCCACUUGCUAAUCUCUUUAAGAGAUCCAAUUAUGUUGAUCCAAUUGCUAGUGAGUUGAGUGCACUUGACUAUCUUUAUGGAGUUUUGCUUGAGAUGCGUGAAUCUGAAAAUUGUGAGGAAGAAAUUUAUGAAGUGAUUCACGAGGGAUCCUUGGAUGAAAAGCAUGAUUGCAAUGGUUUCACUAUAAUUUCUAUUAGUGACAGUCAUGCCAAAAAUAUGCAAAACCCUAAGCUUGGGGAUGCUAGUUUUGCUAUGUCCACUACUGGUUGCAAUGACCAUGAUUGGGGUAAUGAUUUUUCUUAUGAUCUCGAAAAUUUGUUUAACCUCAUGAUGAAUAUGAUGUUUGCAAUAUUAUUGAAAGUGGGUUUGGAGACGUCAUGACUUUAGUUGAUGAUAAUCCCACUAUUUUUGAAGAGCGUCAACUUUGCAUGCAUGUGGAUCAUGAAAAGAAUAUCCUUNNNNNNNNNNCUCCUUGGAUGAAACGCAUGAUUGCAAUGGUUUCACUAUAAAUUCUAUUAGUGACAAGCAUGCUAGAAAUAUGCAAAACCCUAAGCUUGGGGAUGCUAGUUUUGCUCUGUCCACUACUUGUUGCAAUGAUCAUGAGUGGGGCGAUGAUUUUUCUUAUGAUCUUGAAAAAAAAAAUUAAGCCUCAUGGUGAAUAUGAUAUUUGCAAUAUUAUUGAAAUUGAGUUUGGAGAAAUCAUGACUUUAGUUGAUGAUAAUCCCACUAUUUUCGAAGAGCGUCAACUUUGCAUGCAUGUGGAUCAUGAAAAGAAUAUCCUUUGUGAUAGCUAUAUUGUUGAAUUUGAUUAUGAUCCCACAUGUAAUUGCUAUGAGAGAGGAAAAUAUUGUGGUAAAACUUUCAUGUUACCAAAUUACCUCUCGUUAUGUUGAGAUUGAUAUUGUCUCUUUCUUCUUCCUUGCAUAUGGUAACUAUGGUUUGUCUUGACAAUAUGUUUUCCUAUAAAAUGCCUAUGCAUAGGAAGUAUGUUAGACUUAUAUGUGAUUUUCACAUUCUUUAAGAUGCUCUCGUUGUGCUUCAAUUCUUGUCUUUUGAGUGAGCAUCAUCGAAUUAUCAAUGCCUAGCUAAGGGUGUUAAACAAUAGCGCUUGUUGGGAGGCAACCCAAUGAAUUUAUCUUUUUAUUUCUGUUUUGUUGCGUCAACACCAUCAUAAUUCUGUUAUGAUUGUGUCUUUUGUGUUUCUUUUUGUGUUUGUGCCAAGCAAAACCUUUAUGAUUAGUUUGGUGAUGGUUGUUUGAUCCUGCUGGAAAAAGACAGAAACUUUUCGCUCACGAGAUGAUUUUUCAUUUUUAUUCAGAAAGAUAUUUUGAGUUUAUUCUUUUUUGUGCUGGUUGAUAUGCCUUUUUACUAGGCAGUCGUAAGUUUUCAGAAUUUUUGAGGUACCAGAAGUAUAAGAAGUAUACAGAUUGCUACAGACUGGUCUGUUUUUCACAGAUUCUAUUUUUGUUGAGUUGGUUGCUUGUUUUGAUGAAACUAUGGAUAGUAUCGGGGGGUACUUGCAAUGAAAAAGUGAGAAUACAGUAAUAUAAAACCAAUAUAAAUAGAAAUAAAGAUUGCUACAGUACCUAAAGAGGUGGUAGUUUGUUUUCUUGUGCUAAUGAUAUCACGAGUUUCUGUUUAAGUUUUGUGUUGUGAAGUUUUCAAGUUUUGGGUGAUGUUCUCAUGGAUAAAGAGAUAAGGAGUGGAAAGAGCUCAAUCUUGGGGAUGCCCAAGGCAUCCCAAGCCAAAUUCAAGGACACCAAAAACCCUAAGCUUGGGGAUGCCCCGGGAAGGCAUCCCCUCUUUCGUCUUCAAUCCAUCGGUAACAUUACUUGGAGCUAUAUUUUUAUUCAUCAAAUGAUAUGUGUUUUGCUUGGAGCAUCUUGUAUCUUAGGAGUCUUUUAUUUUUGUUGUGUCACAAUCAUCCUUGCUGCACACCUUCAGAGAGAUACAUGCACUCAUCGUGAUUUUGCUAGAAUGCUCAUUGUGCUUCACUUAGAUCUUUUAGCGCACGGCGGUGCGAUACUUGGUAGUUGGCUUAUGCUUUGAAAGUAGUCCCAAGGGUGAUACGUACCCAAAGAAGAUACAAAAGCCUCCAUCUUCAUGCGCAUUGAGUAGAAAGAGAAGUUUUGAUUCCUCUCAAUUAGUUUUGAGANNNNNNNNNNUGAUUUGGUAAUACUAAGAGUUAUGUUAGUAGGUUGUUGUGAAUCUAGAAAUGCUUGUGUUGAAGUUAGUGAUUCCCGUAGCAUGCACGUAUGGUGAACCUCUAUGUUGGGAAGUCGGAGAAUAAUUGAUCUAUUGAUUGUCAUCCUUUGUGUUGAGCUCAGGAUCUCGUGAUGGUUAACACCUACCAACCCUUCCCCUCGGAGUAUGCGUUCAGCACUUUGUUUUGAUUACUAAUAAAAACUUUCGCAACAAGUAUGUGAGUUCUUCAUGACUAAUGUGAGUCCAUGGUAUAUAUGCACUUUCACCUUCCACCAUUGCUAGCCUCUCUAGUGCCGCACAAUUCUCGCCAGUGCACAAACCCACCAAAUGCCUUCCUCAAAAUAGCCACCGUAUCUACCUACUAUGGCAUUUUCAUAGCCACUCCGAGAUAUAUUGCCAUGCAACUCCCAUCGUUUCGUCUCAUGACUUGUGCCGUUACUCUCAUAUUGCCAUUGCAUGAUUGUAAGAUAGCUAGCGAGAUGUUUGAACGUCAUACGCCAAGCUAGAUCGUUGCACAUCCCGGUACACUGCCGGAGGCAUUUCCUAUAGAGUCAUUUCUAAGCUUUGAGUUGUGAGUAAAUAAAAGUGUGAUGAUCAUCAUUAUUAGAGCAUUGUACCAUGUGAGAGAAAAGAGAGGCCAAAGAGCCCAAAUAAAAAAAGAAGAGAAAAAAAUAGGACCAAGAGCCCAAAUAAAAAAAGAGAGAAAAAGAGAGAAGGGACAAUGCUACUAUCUUUUUCCACACUUGUUCUUCAUAAUAGCACCAUGUAAUUCAUGAUUGAGAGCCUCUCGUUUCGUGACCACCAUAUGCUAGUGGGAAUCUUCAUUAUAUAACUUGGCUUGUAUAUUCCAAUGAUGGGCUUCCUCAAAAUUGCCCUAGGUCUUCGUGAGCAAGCAAGUUGGAUGCACACCCACUAGUUCUCCUUUUGAGCUUUCACAUACUUAUAGCUCUAGUGCAUCCUUUGUAUGGCAAUCCCUACUCAUUCACAUUGAUAUCUAUUAAUGGGCAUCUCCAUAGCCUUUUGAUAUGCCGAGUCAAUGUGAUCAUCUCCUCCUUUUUUGUCUCACAACCACCACCACACUCUAUUCCACUUAUAGUGCUAUAUCCAUAGCUCACGCUCAUGUAAUGCGUGAUAGUUAUAAAAAGUUUGAGAAAGUAAGAGUGCGAAAACAAUUACUUGGCCAAUACCGGGGUUGUGCAUGAUUUACAUUAGUUGUGUGAGGAUGAUGGAGCAUAUCCAGACUAUAUGAUUUUGUAGGGAUAACUUUCUUUGGCCUUGUUAUUUUGAAAGUUCAUGAUUACCUUGCUAGUUUGCUUGAAGUAUUAUUGUUUUCAUCUCAAUAGCAAACUAUUGUUUUGAAUCUUACAGAUUUGAACAUUCAUAUCACACGGCAGAAGUUCAAAGGACAACUAUGCUAGGUAGCAUUCCACAUCAAAAAUUCAUUCUUUAUCACUUCCCUACUUGAGGACGAGCAGGAGUUAAGCUUGGGGAUGCUUGAUACGUCUCCAACGUAUCUAUAAUUUUUGAUGGCUUCAUGCUAUUAUAUUUUGAAACUUUGGAUGUUUUGUAUACCUUUUAUAUCUUUUUUUGAGACUAACCUAUUAACUCAGUGCCAAGUGCCAGUUCCUGUUUUUUCCAUGUUUUUGACCCCUUUCAGAGGAGGAUUUUAAACGGAGUCCAAACGGAAGAAACUGCCAAAACGAUUUUUUUCCAAAACAGAAAAAGAUCGGGAAGCCUGAGAAUCAAGGCAGGGGGCCACCAGGGACCGCACAAGCUCCCUAGCCGCGGCCAGGGGGGCCCGCGCCUCCCAGGCUUGUGGGCUCCCUGGGCCUCCUCUGCCCUAGGUCUUUCGCCUAUAAAUUCCCUAAAAUCCCAGAAAAAAUCAGGAGAUCAUCGAAAGUACUUCUCCGCCGCCGCAAGCUUCUGUCUCUGCAAGAUCCCAUCUAGGGCACGUUCUGGUGCCGUGCCGAAGGGGGGAAUUCGGAUACGGAGGGCUUCUUCAUCAACACCAUGACCUCUCCGAUGAUGCGUGAGNNNNNNNNNNGCCAGACUAUAUGAUUUUGUAGGCAUAACUUUCUUUGGCCUUGUUAUUUUGAAAGUUCAUCAUUACCUUGCUAGUUUGCUUGAAGUAUUAUUGUUUUCAUGUCAAUAGCAAACUAUUGUUUUGAAUCUUACGAAUCUGAACAUUCAUGUCACGUGAAAGAAGUUGCAAAGGACAACUAUGCUAGGUAGCAUUCCAGAUCAAAAAUUCAUUCUUUAUCACUUCCCUACUCGAGGACGAGCAUGAGUUAAGCUUGGGGAUGCUUGAUACAUCUCCAACAUAUCUAUAAUUUUUGAUGGUUUCAUGCUAUUAUCUAGUCAAACUUUGGAUGUUUUGCAUGCGUUUUAUACAUUUUUUGGGACUAUCUUAUUAACCCAGUGCCAAGUGCCAGUUCCUGUUUUUUCCAUGUUUUUGACCACUUUCAGAGGAGGAUUUUGAACGGAGUUUAAACGGAAUGAAACUGCCAAAAAGAUUUUUUCUGAAACGGAAAAAGAUCGGGAAGCCGGAGAAUCAUGGCACGGGGCCUGCACGGACCCCACAAGCCCUCAUGGCGCGGCCAGGGGGCCUGCGCCUCUCUGGCUUGUGGGCUCCCUGGGCCACCUUUGCCCUAGGUUUUGCACCUAUAUAUUCCCUAAAAUCCCAGAAAAAAUCAAGAGAUCAUCGAAAGUACUUUUCCGCCACCGCAAACUUCUGUCUCCGCAAGAUCCCAUCUCGGGCACGUUCUGGUGCCCUGCCGGAGGGCGGAUUCGGACACAGAGGGCUUCUUCAUCAACACCAUGACCUCUCCGAUGAUGCGUGAGUAGUUCACCAUAGACCUACGGGUCCAUAGCUAGUAGCUAGAUGGCUUCUUCUCUCUCUUGGAUCUUCAAUACAAAGUUCUCCAUGAUCUUCAUGCAGAUCUAUCCGAUGUAAUCCUCUUUGGCGGUGUGUUUGUCGAGAUCCGAUGAAUUGUGGAUUUGUGAUCAGAUUAUCUAUGAUAUAUAUUUGAGUCUUUGCUGAUUUCUUUUAUGCAUGAUUUGAUAUCCUUGUAAGUCUCUCCGAGUCUUGGGUUUUGUCUGGCCAAGUAGAUCUAUGAUUCUUGCAAUGGGAGAAGUGCCUGGUUUUGGGUUCUUACUGUGUGGUGACCUUUCCUAGUGACAGUAGGGGCAACAAGGCACACAUCAUGUAGUUGCCAUCAAGGGUAAUAAGGUGGGCUUUGUCGUCGAUAUGAGGUUGUUCAUCUACAUCAUGUCAUCUUGCUUAAGGCGUUACUCUGUUCUUUUGGACUUAAUACACUAGAUUCAUGCUGGAUAGCGGUCGACGUGUGGAGUACUAGUAGUAGAUGCAGAAAGUAUCGGUCUACUUGUUUUGGACGUGAUGCCUAUAGAUAUAAUCAUUGCCAUUGAUGACGUCACGACUUUGUGCGGUUCCAUCAAUUGCUCGACAGUAAUUUGUUCACCCUCCGUCUACCUGCUUUCAUGAGAGAAGCCACUAGUAAACACUACGGCCCCCUGGUCUAUUCACACCUAUCAUUUCCACUUUCGCUUUUACUUUGCUUUGUUACUUUGUUGCUUUCAGUUCUCACUUGGCAAACAAUCUAUAAGGGAUUGACAACCCCUUCACAGCGUUGGGAGCAAGUUUUUGUGUUUGUGUAGGCACUUGUGAUACUCCUUCACUGGUUCGAUACCUUGGUUCUCAAACAGAGGGAAAUACUUACCACCGCUGCGCUACAUCACCCUUUCCGCUUCGAGGGAACACCAACGCAAGGCUCCAAGGCCACGGGGGAAAUCCUUUGCAUAUUUGCCUAGGAAGUCCCUUAAGGCGUAGCCGUAGCACAAGGAUUCCUGGUGCCGUUGCUGAGGAGUACCAAGACAAGAACAGUCUCCCGUCAACACGACUAUUUCUGGCGCCGUUGGAAGGUCUUUUGUUGCAGUAGCACUCCUCCCCUCCCUCCCUCCUAUAUAUAAUAUAGGAUAUAGAGGCAGCCCUAACCCUAAUUGCCACGUGCUCCCUCUGCUUCAUCUAGACCAGUUUUUCCUCUAGUCUAGUUCGGCGGUGCUUAGGCGAAGCCCUGCUGGAUAAGUUCACCACCACCACCACCACGCCACCGUGCUAGAGAACUCAUCUACCUCUCCAUCCCUCUUGCUGGAUCAAGAAGGCGGGGAUCGUCAUCGAGCUGUACAUGUGCUGAACGUGGAGGUGCCGUCCGUUCGGCACUAGAUUGGGAUGGAUCAUGAUGGGAUCGCGGGACGGAUCGUGAUGAGAUCGCGAGACGGGCUGCGAUUUGAAUCGCGAAGAUGUUCCACUACAUCAACCACGUUAUAUAGGAUUCCACUUAGCGAUCUAUAAGGGUAUGUAGAUUCACUCUCCUCUCUCGUAGAUGAUCAUCACCAUGGAUAGGUAUCGCGUGUGCGUAGGAAAUAUUUUGUUUCCCAUGCUACGUUCCACAACAGUUUCACCGGCCAAGUUCAAGCUCGAGUUGCUCCCAUGCUACGGUGGCUCCCUUGACCCUGCGGAGUUCCUCCAAAUCUAUGCCAUGAGCAUCGAAGCGGCACGCGGUGAUGACAAGGUCAUGGCAAACUGGCUUCCGAUUGCCCUCAAGGACGGCACACAAUCCUCGCUCAUCAACCUGCCAAAGGUGUCGGUCUCUUCAUGGAGUGACCUCUGCGAGCUGUUCAUCGCCAACUUUAAGAGCAUGCACGACCGUCCCCUCUCCGUCAGUGACUUGCGUCACAUGAAGCAUCGCCCUGGGAAGACCCUCUACAAGUACAUCCAACGAUUUAGCCAGGUGCGCAACAACAUCCCGCGUGCCUCGGACGAUGGAGUCAUCAUGGCGUUCACCAACGAUGUCAAGGAUCUCAUGAUGUGAAAAAAGCUCACCAUCAACGACAACGUGAGCACGGCCAUGGAGUUGCUCAACCUCACCGACAAAUGCACCAAGGCCGAGGAGGGAUACCUGUUUGCGCAUGACAACCCUGACAACACGCCCGACGACGCCAAGGACAAGGCCAAGGAGCUCAAGUGCAAAUGAUCCACCAUGCUUGCGGCUGAGCCCGAGCAGAAGCGCAGCCACGAGUAGGGCAUGCCCGAAAAGGACUGCUGCCCAUUCUGCAUCUACCACGACGUAUACACCCACAACACUAAAGACUGCCAAGAGCUCGAGGUCCUCCGAGACGAGCGGGUUGGCCGGAGUUUGGAUCACAAUGACUGCGGUGCUGGUCGCGGCGGCGGGAGGUGGGACAACCACAACGGCAACUCUCACCAGGGCUGGUAUGAGCUGAUUUGCGAGAACGGCUGGCGCGAUUAGUCUCGUGAGGUGUGCCCUUGGGACAACGUGGUGUUCCCUCCGUUGCCACCGCCGCCAAGGAGGAAUAAUGACAACCAAAGCGAUGAGGAGACCGGAGCCUAUCAAGAGCCUCGCAUGGUGGCUUGCAUUCUUGGCAGAGCUCAUGCCCCCUCAUCGAACAUCUAGUUCAAACGACUCUCUCGCGACGUGAACACCGCCCUCCCGAGGCUGGUGGCUGCGAAGCCAUUCAAGUAGUCCCAGUACAGCAUCUCCUUCGACACCAGGGAGAGCCUCAAGUCCACAGCCGUCGCGGGCACGCUCCCCAUGAUAUGUACUACUACCACCAAGAACAUCGCGAUCACCAAGACUCUCAUCGAUGGAGCUGCGGGCCUCAUCGUGCUCUCCGUUGAAACCUCCGACAUGCUCGAGGUGCCUUACGAUGAACUGAUGCCGACCAAGCCGUUCUCCAGGGUGACUGGCGGCUCCACCACUCCGCUGGGGCAGGUCUGCCUUCCGGUCACCUUGGGCACACGCGACAACUAUCAUACAAAGCUCAUUGACUUUGACGUGGCGCACAUUGGUCUCCCGUACAAUGCCAUCUUGGGCUACCCAGCGUUGGUUAAGUUCAUGGCGACAACCCACCAUGGCUACAACAUCGUCAAGAUGCCGGGUUGCAGCGGCAUCAUCACCGUCACCUAUCACUUAAAGGGCGCGGUCUUCUGCCUCAACCGCGCCUACAGGGCCGCCGCAGCGGAGCGCUUCGACGAUUUCGGGGACGAUGUGCCUCGCGAAGUCGCACCCCCGAGGAAGAAACAAAUGAUGCCCGCCUCUGGCUCCGGAUAGGCGAAGGGUCCGGUGACUGACGCGAGGGUCGCAAGACUCGUGCGCAUUGCAGGUGCCUACCCCCUUCCGGCAAAGGAGGGCGCACUCAGCGGCUCCCUUAGGUCGAGCUUAGGGGUUUCCUCCUGGAAAGCAUAUGACCUGGCCGGUACAUCGAGAGAGGUGCUCGGGCACCACCUAGAGGUGUGCCUCAACGCGCGCCCUCGCAAUAAAGGGGUAUGACAUCGGACUCCGGGGGCAUAGGAGUUCAUCGCCCACGAAAUCGGCAAGUUGUGGGAGGCGCGUGCCAUGCGUGGCGAGCGUCGCCCUGAGCACCUCAUCAGGAGGAUCAUCACUCCCGGGAGGACCGUAAGGUGCGCAUGUGCGUCGAAGUUGCAAGCCUUAAUGGGGUCGCCUCCCAAAGCUCCUUCUGGCCUUCGCGCGUGGGCCUAUGCCAAGGCACCACCACCGACCAUGUUCACAUGCCCUUCGGCCUGGAGAACUCCAGUGCUACCUUCCAAAGGUUGGCAAGACUCACAACGGCGCCUCGCGUGGUGUCGAGACCUCACGCCCCCAGAGUUGCAGGGGCAACCGAUCCCUGAGGGGCCGGCCUUCAUGACACACCUCACCAAGCAAACUAGAGCUUCGACGAGAACGCAAUCGUCACGUGAAUUUUUGUUUUGUUCUAUAUCAAGGACACCGUUUGAGCUGGGUUAUCCUCGGUCGAGAGGGACCGCCCUCACAUAAUUCUCGCUUUUUGGCUGCAUGCUAAACCCUGUCAUUCCCUUCAAAACUUAUGUGGUUCGCUUGAUAAGCAUCACUGCUGGUUUGGCGUUUGUCGCCUCGGGUGCCAUGCAGCGAGUGAUUUUCUCAUGAUCAUUCCAUGAAAGAACCUGGCAUGACGUUUGUUCUCGAGUUCGUUCCAUGAAGGGCUUACCCUCGAUAACCCACAAGUAUAGGGGAUCGCAACAAUUUUCGAGGGUAGUGUAUUCAACCCAAAUUUAUUGAUUCAACUCAAGGGGAGCCAAAGAAUAUUCUCGAGUAUUAGCAGAUGAGUUGUCAAUUCAACCACACCUGAAAGACUUAAUAUCUGCAACAAAGUAUUUAUUAGCAAAGUAGUAUGGAAGUAACGGUAACGGUGGCAAACGUGACAGUAGCAGUUUUGUAGUGAUUGUAACAAUAGCAACGGAAAAGUAACUUAGCAAAGAUCAAUAUGUGGAAAGCUCGUAGGCAAUGGAUCAGUGAUGGAUAAUUAUGUCGGAUGGCAUUCAUCGUUCAACAGUCAUAACAUAGGGUGAUACAGAACUAGCUCCAAUUCAUCAAUGUAAUGUAGGCAUGUAUUCCAUAUAUAGUCAUACGUGCUUAUGGAAAAGAACUUGCAUGACAUCUUUUGUCCUACCCUCCCGUGGCAGCGGGGUCCUAAUGGAAACUAAGGGAUAUUAAGGCCUCCUUUUAAUAGAGAACGAGACCAAAGCAUUAGCACUUAGUGAAUACAUGAACUCCUCAAACCACGGUAAUCACCAGAUCCCAGUUAUUGUCACCCUCGGGGAUGCGGAUCAUGACUCGUAAUAGGUGUCUAUAACUUGCAAGAUAGGAUCAAGAACACAUAUAUAUUCAUGAAAACAUAAUAGGUUCAGAUUUGAAAUCAUGGCACUCUAGCCCUACUGACAAGCAUUAAGCAUAGCAAAGUCAUAGCAACACCAAUCUCAGAACAUAAUGGAUACUAGGGAUCAAACCCUAACAAAACUGACUCGAAUACAUGAUACAUCUCAUCCAACCCAUCACCGUCCAGCAAGCCUACGAAGGAAUUACUCACAAAUGGCGGAGAGUAUCAUGAAAUUGGUUAUUAAGGAUGGUUGGUGAUGAUGACAGCAUCGAUUUCCCUUCUCCGAAGCCCAAAUCAAACUCCAGAUCUGCCCUCCCGAGGAAGAACACGAGGUGGCGGCGGCGGCUCCGUAUCGUAAAACGUGAUGAACUCUUAUCUUUGAUUUUUUCCUCCUCGGAUAGGAAUAUAUAGAAGUGGAAACGAGGUCGGUGGAGCCACAGGGGCCCCACAAGCCACGGGGGUGCACCCUAGGGGGGCGCCCUCCAAGCUUGUGGCCAGGUGGUGGCCCGUCUCCGGUUGAUUCUUUCGCCAAUCUUUUUUAUUAAUGCCAAUAACGUUCUUGGUAAAUUUUCAGGUCAAUCCGAGAACUUUUAUUUGUGCACAAAAAUAACACCAAGGAAAUUCUACUAAAAACAACGUCAGACCAGGUUAAUUCCAUUCAAAUCAUGCAAAUUAGAGUCUAAAGCAAGGGCAAAAGAGUUUGGAAAAGUAGAUACGUUGGAGAUGUAUCAAUUCCCCCAAGCUUAAACCUUUGCUUGUCCUCAAGCAAUUCAGUUGAUAAACUGAAAGUGAUAAAGAAAACAAUUUACAAACUUUGUUUGAUCUUCUUGUUGUAAAUAUGUCUAAAUUAUGUUUAGAUCUUCAGCUAAGAUUACAGACUAACCACAUUCACAAUAAUAUUUAGGUCUCAUAUUUACUUAUAUCAAUGGAGUAAUCAACUAGCAAGCAAUAAUAAUAAGUCUCGGAUGGCAACAAUUUUAUCAAAACAGUCAUAAUACAAUAUGAUAAACUGGUAUCUCGCUAGCCCUUUCUGAGACCGCAAAACAUAAAUGCACAACACCUCGGAAGAACAAGGAUUGACUAGACAUUGUAAUUCUUGGUAAAAGAGAUCUAGUCAUACUCAUACUCAAUAUCAAUUAAUAACCAAGCAUACAAAUGAGGGAUGUGCUCUCUAACUGGUGCCUUUUUAUAAUAAGAGGAUGACUCAAGAGUAAAGUAAAAUAGAUAGGCCCUACGCAGAGGGAAGCAUUGAUUUACAAAGGUGCAAGAGAUCGACCUUUUAAAACGGGGAUGAAACAAAAUUUUGGGUGGUAUGCUUUCAUUGUCAACAUAACAACUAAGAGA